Molecule: long non-coding RNA, 51322 nt
Filed under: Malus domestica (apple)
Lineage: Eukaryota; Viridiplantae; Streptophyta; Magnoliopsida; Rosales; Rosaceae
Description: long non-coding RNA (MDOM_LNC002299)
Source: RNAcentral
AAUUUCGGAUCGAAGGAAACAAGGAUCUGGUGGAGACGUUGCUCAAUGAACAGCUGCUCCCUGCCACUCUUCACACUCUCCAAAUCUUGUUUGUAUCGAAUCUGAAAUCUUUGGACGGAAAGGGACUUGAGCACCUCACUUCUCUUCAACACCUAGAAAUUACGGGGGGUGUAUUCAAUUGAGAUUAUAAGGGAUUUUAAUUCUUUUAAUGAAUCUAGGGGUAUUCAAUCAGGAUUUUAAGUGAUUCUCUGAAAUUCUAGGUGUAUUCAAUUAGCAUUUUAAAAUAGUUUAUUAAAAUCCUUAGAAAUUCAGGUGUAUUCAAUUAAGAUUUUAAAGAAGUUUAUAACAUUCAAGGUGUAUUCAAUUAGAAAUUUAUUUUAAAGAAUUUGAGAAAGUUGAGGAAUUAGAGGGAAUUGGAGAGAUUUCGUAGUGUAUUUUAAAUAUCCACAAAUCUCACCUCUUCCCAUGAGAUUUCGAGGGAAUUGAAUCAAAAUUUUAUAUGGAAUCUCUACAAAUCAAUUAAACUCCAUAAAAAUCCAUGGAUUUAUAAAUCCAAUAAAGUCUCUCAAAUUCUCAAUUGAAUACACCCUCCUACAUGUUGCGAGAGUCUCAAAUUCCUGCCAAAAGAGGGUUUUCCGGCAUCUCUUUCUUAUCUGAAGAUCCGGGGUUGUCCUUCUCUGAAGAAGAGGUAUCUGAAGAAGAGACAUGAGAAGGUAGCUCGCAUUCCUUGCAUAGAGAUAGACGGAGAAUUAACAUCUUGUGAGCUUUCAUUUCACUCUCUCCAACUCUCAACUCUCAAGACAAAAGCCAGGUACUUUUUUUAUUCAUUAUUAAAUUGAUUGUCCUCAGCAAUAUUCCUAAUUAAAUUGAUAAAUUCAAGUUUCAGAGUCUAAUCCCGAUGAAAUUACAGGAGAGUACGAGGGGAGUGAAUUAUUUCUAGUCUGACAAGAGGUAAAACCCUGGAUGAUGGUUUCACUGAUGCAGCGAGCAAGCAAACCUGUAAAGAUAGGUUUAUCAAAUGGUGCUCUGAUUUUCUGGACUGUCAAGUUUGAAAUCUUUUGGACCGAAAUGAACUUUCAAUACCUCCCACUUUCACAAUUCCUGCCGGGACAGGGACCUCUAGACCUCUCUCGUCUACAGCCAUACAAAGAUUGAAUGUAUGUGGGACUUCGUCGGUCCAUAGAGAAAACUUUUGAACUGUAAAGAUAGGAUUAUCAGAGGGAAAACGAUGUUAGAUUACAUCAACCACUCAGGUACUUGUGUAUAUAUGUACUGCCUUUCGGUAACAAUGUAAUUCAACUAUGCUAUAAGUCAGGACAACACGAUGGGACUAACGUAUUUGUUGGCUUUAUUGAUGCAGAUGGCAUUUUAUUGAUGCAGAUGGCAACUCUGGGAUUGUAAAGAUAGGAUAAUCUACAGCCAACGAUUUAAACAUGCAUCAAUUAGUUAUCCUUGAAUGGUGCUAGCUCCAGCUAUCUGGCAUGAAUAUAAUUCUCCUUUAAUUGGAGGGGUAACCCCUGAUAUGAUGUUUUUUUUUUCUAUUACUUUUUUUUUAGUUUAAAUAUGAGAGGCAUGCCUUUUCAUCUUCACUUGAUGUGACUCUCAUCUACUAAUGGGCGCAUAUAUGCUUUUGUACAGAUUGAGCGCGCUUGAUCUUUUGUCAUGCUUACGUUUGUUGGUAUUCCAUUUGCUUGUUUUCUAAGAUACAUGUAUCAAUAAUAAUUUCUUCAUCUUUGAAUUUAGGAGUAUCUUUUUAAUCUGAGGUAUGAAAAAGGAAAGCAGUUGAGUUGGCAUCCUACUGACAUGGAUUUGAGAGAAAACAUGCUUUUCACAGUUCGAUUUAGAAUGAAACGGUAGAAAGUGUGUGAAGGCAUAGCUCUGCGUUCUUUUCCUACAUUUUCAUCAAAACUCGGCAUCCACAUACUCUCCUUACAGAAAAAUAUAUUUCGCAUACGUUAAAUGAAAUUAUGCCUCUUGUUGCCGCCUAUGAACAUCUUUUACCGUUAUAUUUAUUAUUAAAUUGAUUUUCCUUAGCAACAAUAUUCCUACUUAAAUUCAAGUUUCAGAGUCUAAUUCCGAUGAAAUUACAGGAGAGUGUGAUGGGAGUGACUUUUUUGUAGUAUGAUAGUGUGUAUCUACUUGGGGUGGAUAUAUGAUUCUCCUGCAUGUGAGGGUUCUCUCAUACUUGUCUCGUUUGUGGCAUAACUUUCUCAUCUUUCACUGUAACUGUAAUCUUCAGGUAGGUCCACAGGAGAUAUGUUUCUCUCUACUAACACAACAGUUGAAGAGUGCCUAAUGGCUGAGCUUGCUUGAAUGCCAGCAUGUACAAUGCGUUGCUAGAUUGCAUUUAUAUUAAGGAGGAUUUCACUGGUGGAAAAUUGCAGAUCAGCUGUAAAUUAAUUUACUUUCUCACUUUUUCUAUCUUCAUUUUGCCUUAUCUAUAUUGCAUUUAUAUAUCAGUCUUUUUCUUUGACAGUUCAAUUCAACUAUAUGCUAAAUCAGGACAAUGUGAUGGUAGUAGCAGGUAUAUCGGUUUCAUUGAUGCAGUGAGCAAACAGAGUAAACCUGUAAAGAUAGGAUUAUUAAAUGGUGCUCUGGUUUUCUGUCAAGUUUGAAAUUUUUGGACAGAAAUGGACAUUCAACAGGGAACUGCAGACCUCAGUUCUCGUCAACAUCUAUAUAAAGAUUGAAUGUAUGUUGGACUUCAUCGGCCCAGAGAGAAAUCUAUUGAACUGUAAAGAUAGGAUUAUCAGAGGGCAAAUGAUGUUAGCUUACAUCAACCACUCAGGUACUUAUGUAUAUAUAUGACACCACUUGCGUUUAAUUUUGUUAAAUUACUUUUUAGCAGUAUAAUUCAACUGUGCUACCCUUUCUUCUUUCUCUUAUUUUUCAUUUCUCCCCUAACAUUUACAUGUUUCUUGAAAUUUCAGGACAGUUUCAUCAAAUAUAAUAGCAACCGGUUUUAGCUUACAUAUCAAUUACUGGUUGUUGAUUGGUGCGGCGGCAAUCUCUCGCAUAUAUGAUUCACCCUGCAUGGGCUCCUUGAUGAUGUUUUUGUUUCUCCGAUGUACUGCUGUGGUUUCCAUACGGCGGAAUGCUCGCUCAUCUUUCAAUGCCUCUGUCAUCUUGAGGUAGGUGUAUACACAAAUGUUUAUAUACAAACACAAUGGUUGAAGAGAGCAUGGCUUAUUGGCACCGCUUUCUAGAAUGUCACUGUUACUUGACUCAGUGGCUGUCUGCUACUGCGCCUACGGAUUUCAGUGUGAGCAGUUGAACACUUUAGUGUAACGAUGGGACUAGCAUAUAUGUCGGCUUUAUUGAUGCAGAUGGCAACUCGGGAAUUGUAAAGAAAGGAUCAUCUACUGCCAACAAUUUAAACAUGCAUCAAUUAGUUGUCCUUGAAUGGUGCUACUCCAGCUAUCUGGAAUGAAUAUAAUUCUCCUUUAAUCGGAGAGGUAACCCCUGGAAUGAUGUUUUUUUUUUUCCUUUCUAAAUACUGUUUAUAGUUUGAAUACGAGAGGCAUGCAUUUUCAUCUUCUCUUGACGUCACUCUCAUCUUCGCAUGGGUGCAGAUUUGUACAAACAAAGUGGUUGAACAGCGCGCUUGAUCCUUGUAGCACUGUCGUCAUGCUUGCAUUUGUUGAUAUUCCAGUAAAUGAGCUUUCCACCACUCUUUUGUUUUAAGUUCCGUUUGCUUGUUUUAAAGAUAACCAUUACUGACCAGAAAGACACCAAAUUCUCCUUUAGGUGCUUCAACUGCGGUAUAGGUAGAAGAUGCUGGUACGGAAAAAUCUUCUUCAUCUUUGAAUUUAGGAGUAGCUUGUUAAGCUGAGUAUGAAAAAGGAAAGCAGUUGAGAGUUGGCAUCCUAUUGAAAUGGAUUUGAGAGAAAAUAUGCUUUUCACUUUGGAGUUAGAAUGAAACGGUAGAAAGUGUGUGAAGGUAAAGCUCUGCGUUCUUUUCCUACAUUUUCAUCAAAACUCAGAAUCCGCAUAGUCUCCUUAAAGAAUAAUAUAUAUCACAUACUUUAAAUGAAAUUGUGCCUAUUGUUGCUGCGUAUGAACAUCUUUUCUCCCGGAAGUGAUCCAAAGGAACUGAGAGGUUAUAGCAUUCUUCUCACCAUUGUGGAUUUCAUGAGAAAUCAAGAGAAUAUUGAAAGUUGCAUCUGGACUCGGAGGUUUGUUUUCUGUAUAUUAGCAUGCGUGAUGUCUUGUGAUGUCGUGUGACUUGCAUAGCAAGUUAACAAACGAAGAAAAAAAUUAUUUGAACAUUGCAGAUUCACUCACUAUAUAUAUGUAGGCGAUCAUUUGAUUGGUUAACCAAUCUAGAGGAAGUCUGGAAGAUGCCGUGGGGAAAUAGUUGGUGAUACGCCUUAACCCAAGUUUGAUGGGGAAAGUUGGAGCAACGUGCUUUCAAUUUUAGAAACCUUCUUGGUAAGUAGCAACUCAACCGUGGUAGUGCUUCGUGUACAUUACCGCACAUAGCAGAAAAUUUCCCCAUCGUUAAGGUGUCCAUUCAUUGUUUCCCUUAAUAGUAUUUGCUUUUCUGAAUCGUAUGCAGCCAAAUGCACACUUUUGUUGCUGCCUGUGCAGCCAAGUGCGCGCGGGGGAGUUCAUUUUCCUCUACCAGGUACGCUGAGGCCAGAGCACUAUGUCGUUGGCUGCAGAUGGUGGCUGAUUUGGAAGCUGCAGCUGUGGAAGUGGAGAGUAAUUCUAAGGGCUUGUCUCUCUUCGACAAUUUCGGAUCGAAUUUUGUGAGAGACUGAGGCCUUCAGUGGAAUGGGGAUUGCAAGGGCUAGUCUCUCUUCGACAAUUUCGGAUCGAAGGAACCAAGGAUCUGCUGGAGACGUUGCUCAAUGAACAGCUGCUCCCUGCCACUCUUCACACUCUCCAAAUCUCUCAUGUAUGGUAUCUGAAAUCUAUGGACGGAAAGGGACUUGAGCACCUCACUUCUCUUCAAAAGCUACAAAUUUCAAAGUGCGAAAGUCUCAAAUUCCUGCCAAAAGAGGGUUUUCCGGAAUCUCUUUCUUAUCUGAACAUCUUGGGGUUGUCCUUCUCUGAAGAAGAGGUAUGAGAACAUAGAUCGCAUUCCUUGCAUAGAGAUAGAUGGAGAAGUCAACCUCUUGUGAGCUUUCAUUUCACUCUCCAACUCUCAACUCUCAACUCUCAAGACAAAAGCCAGGUACUAUUUUAUUUAUUAUUAAAUUGAUUGUCCUCAGCAAUAUUCCAGCUUAAAUUAAAGUUUCAGAGUUUAAUUACGAUGAAAUUACAGGAGAGUGGGAGGGGAGUGAAUUAUUUGUAGUCUGAUACUGUGGAACUACUUGGGGGUGGAUAUAUAUGAUUCUCCUGCAUGACAAGAGGUAAAACCCUGGAUGAUGGUUUUCUCAUACUUCUCUCGUUUGCGACAUAACUCUAAUCUUGUGGUAGGUGUGAUGGGACUAACAGAUAUAUCGGUUUCACUGAUGCAGCGAGCAAGCAAACCCGUAAAGAUAGGAUUAUCAAAUGGUGCUCUGGUUUCUGGACUGUCAAGUUUGAAAUCUUUUGGACGGAAAUGGACUUACAACGCCUCCCACUCGCAAUUCCUGCCGGGACUCGACCCUCUAAACCUCAAGCUCUCUUCAACAGCUAUAUAAGGAUUGAAUGUAUGCGGGACUUCGUCGGUCCAGAGAGAAAACUAUUGAACUGCAAAGAUAGGAUUAUCAGAGGGAAAACGAUGUUAGCUUACAUCAACCACUCAGGUACUUGUGUAUAUAUAUACUGCUGUGGUUUCCAUAUGGCGGAAUGCUUACCCAUAUUUCAAUGCCUCUGUCAUCUUGUGGUAGGUGCAUACACAUAUGUUUCUCCGCAAAGACAAUGGUUGGAGAGAGUAUGGCUUAUUGGCAUCGGUUGCUAGAAUGCCAGUGUUACUAGACUUGGUGGCUGGCUGCUGCAUCUACAGAUUUCAGUGUAAGUAGUUGAACACUUGGAGUGCAAUUUGUGCUUCCUUUAUGUAUCAUUGUAAUUCAACUAUGCAAUCAGUCAGGACAAUUCGAUGGGACCAACGUAUUUGUCGGCUUUAUUGAUGCAGAUGGCAACUCUGGAAAUGUACAGAGAGGAUUAUCUAUAGCCAACGAUUUAACAUGCAUCAAUUAGUUGUCCUUGAAUGGUGCUAGCUCCAGUUAUCUGGCAUGAAUAUAAUUUUACUUAUGUUGGAGAGGUAACCCCUGGAGUGCUGUUUUUUCUAAUGCUGUUGUAGUUUGAAUAUGAGAGGCAUGCCUUUUUAUCUUCUCUUGAUGUCACUCUCAUCUACGAAUGGGCGCAGAUAUGCUUUUGUACAGACAGAGUGGUGGAACAGCUCGCUUGAUCCUUGUAGCACUAUUCUCAUGCUUGCGUUGGUAUUCCAGUAAAUAAUAUUACUAGAGUAAGUGGUUGGCUGGUGUGCUACUGAUUUCACAAGAAUGAUAAUUCUUACGUUGAGCACUGCAGACGAGCUGUAAAUUAGCUUUCCACCACUCUCUUGUUUUAAGUUCUAUUUGCUUGUUUUCUAAGAUAAAUGUAUCCAUAAUAAUUUCUUCAUCUUUGAAUUUAGGAGUAUCUUGUUAAGCUGAGGUAUGAAAAAGGGAAGCAGUUGAGUUGGCAUCCUAUUGAAAUGGAUUUGAGAGAACAUGCUUUUCACAGUUCGAUUCAGAAUUAAACUGUAGAAAGCUUGUGAAGGUAAAGCUCUGCGUUCUUUCCCGCUCUUGAGGAAGAUGCAGUGGAGAAAUAGACGAUGCUUCACCUUAACCCAAGUUUGAUGGGUAAAGUUGGAGCAGCGGGCUCUUAAAUUUAGAAACCUUCUUGGUAAGUAGCAACUCAACCGUAGUAAUGCUUCAUGUACAUUAUCGCACAUAGCAGCAAAAUUUCCCAAUCGCUAAGGGGUCCAUUCAUUGUUUCUCUUAAUAUAUAGUAUUUGUUUUUCUGAUUCUAAUGCAGUCAAAUGCACACUUUGUUGCUGCCUGUGCAGCCAAGUGCGUGCGUGUGGAGUUCGUUUUCCUCUACCACGUACAUUGAGGCCAGAUCCCUACGUCGUUGGCUGCCGAUGGUGGCUGAUUUGGAGGCUGCUGCUGUGGAAGUGGAGAGUCAUUGCACUCUAGCUUUGGCAGGGCUGUUGCAAAAGGGGGAGGAUUAUUCUGCGUCUGGCCCAAUAUUAUGUGAGACGAGAGGCCUAAAAGGUUGCACAUAGACUUGCACGAUAUCAAGAGUUGCUAUAGUUUGACGACUAUAUUUUGGAUGUUUUAGUUAAUAGAAGCUAGACCGUCGUAUCUUGUAAAUUGUUGGUGCGUGGUACUCUUUUUCCUUCCGUUGGUUGAAAUUCCCAACAAGGUUUUGAUGAGGCCGCUCUUCAACACCCUAUUGUCUUGUACAUUAUUCUUUGAGUAAAUUGUAGCAAUGGUCCCUGAACUUUACUCAAAUUGGAGUAAUGGUCCCUCAACUAAAAUUCCAUUACCAUUGGUCCCUCAACUUAUCAAAAUUUGUAGCUAUAGUUAUUUUCAUUAAUUUCUUCAAAAUUUUGUCAAAAUAUGUUAGGUUGGAAUAACCAUUUACUUAAUUAGGGUCCCUCAACUUAUCAAAGUGUGUAAUUAUGGUCAUUUUUGUUAACUAUGUAAAUUUUUUUGUCAAAAGGAGUUAUGUUUGAAGGACCAUAGCUACAAUUGGGAUAAAGUUAAGGGACCAUUUCUCCAGUUAAAUUAAAAUUGAGGGACCAAAGGUAAUGGAUUUUUAGUUGAGGGACCAUAGUUGCACGUUUUAAUGAGUUGAAGGACCAAUGGUAAUGAAUUUUUAGUUGAAGGAUCAUUACUUCAAUUUGAGUAAAGUUCAGGGACCAUAGCUACAAUUUACUCUUAUUCUUUCGAUGGUAACAACUAGCACACUUUAAGUUAAAAAGCAAAUUCCUUUUUGGGUUCAGACCCUAAAAAACUUUAAUCUUAGUAAUAGUUGAGGUUUUUGUCAAUUCGUCCCCUCUCUCGAAUUUGAAUGUCGAUUACCUUUCUGAACUUUUAUAAUUACAAGUUUGCCCUCGUACAAUUGCCAAGUGCUAUCCAUAUGACCAGGAUGGAUGAAAAAUAUCAAAAUCUAACACCACCAAAGAAAUUGCUGACUUGACAACGUUUUGACAAGGCAUCCACAUCUAAAUGAUUAUAUGUAGAAAGCAUGAAACAUGCUACGAGUGUUGGUGUUGAAUUCUACGGGGGGGAUAUCAACCGUUUCAAUCUUUAGAGAGGCUAGAGUUUUGGAUUGCUGUGAUUCUCUGAGGUCGUUCCCUUUGGGCAUCUUCCCCAAGCUUUCAACUCUUGGUAUCUAUGGUUGUCAGAAUCUGGAGUCCCUUUAUGUUGAAGGAAGAGCAGUCGAAAAUCUCAGCCAUCUCGACUACCUGUCUCUCCGGAGAUGUCCAAAUCUGGUCUCUUUUCACGACGGAGGAUUGCCCACUCCCCACCUGACUUCCUUUUCAGUCUGGGGAUGCAAGAGUUUGAAGUUGUUGCCGGACGAAAUGCACACCCUCACCGCCCUUCAACAUUUGUGGAUACAAAAUCUUCCAAAUCUGGAGUCACUUGCACAAGGGGGUAUGCCUCGCAACCUACAAGCAUUUUGGAUCGAAAAUUGUGAGAGACUGAGGCCUUCAGAGGAGUGGGGAUUGCAAGGACUUGUCUCUCUUCGAGAAUUUAUAAUCACCAGAAACAAGGACCCGCUGGAGACGUUGCUCAAGGAACAUCUGCUCCCUGCCACUCUUCUCACUCUCAAAAUCUCUCAACUUUCAAAUCUGAAAUCUUUGGACGGGAAGGGACUUGAGCACCCCACUUCUCUUCAACAGCUAGAAAUUUCAUGGUGCCAGAGUCUUGAAUUCCUGCCAAAGGAGGGUUUUCCGGUGUCUCUUUCUUGGUUGAGUGUGGAGAAUUGUCCUUCUCUGAAGAGGAGUUAUCGGAACAAGAAAGGAAAUGAUUGAAGAAACAUAUUUCGCAUUCCUUGCAUAAAGAUAGAUGAUGAAGUCACCAUCCUAUGAGCUUUCAUUCACCUCUCCAACUCUCAACUCUCAACUCUCAAGACGAAGCCAGGUUAUUUCUUAUUUAUUAUUACAUUGAUUGUCCUCAGCAAUAGUCCUACUUAAAUUCAAGUUUCGGAGUCUAAUUCCAAUGAAAUUACAGGAGAAUGCGAGGAGACUGACUUCUUUGUAGUCUGAUACUGUGGAACUACUUGGGGUGGAUGUACAUGAUUCUCCUGCACGAGAAGAGGUAAGCCCUUAGUGAUGGUUUUUCGUACUUCUCCCGUUUGCGCACAACAGUUGAAUAGUGCCUCAUCGCUGUGCCUCAUGGUUGUGCUAUGGAUUUCACCGGUUGAACAUUGCAGAUCAGAUGUAAAUUGUAAUUUACUUUCUCUCACUUUUUCUAUCUUCGGUUUGCCUUUUCUCUAUUGCAUUUCUAUUAGGGAUCAGUCUUUUUCUUUAACAGUUCAUUUCAACUAUAUGCUAAGUCAAGAAAAUGUGAAGGGACUAACAGAUGUAUCGGUUUCAUUGAUGCAUUGAGCAAACAGACUAAACCUGUAAAGAUAGGAUUAUCAAAUGGAGCUCUGGUUUACUGAACUAUCAAGUUUGAAAUCUUUGGAUGGAAAUGGACGUUCAAAACCUACUGGACUCUCAACUCUAUUAAGAGAGCACCGCUUACUGGCACUGCAUGCUAGAAUGCCAGUAUUACUAGACUCGGUGGCUGGCUGCUGCGCCUACAGAUUUCAAUGUAAGCAGUUGAACACUUGAGUGUAAUCUGUUCUUCCUUUAUGUAUCAAUGUAAUUGAACUACGGUACUAUUAUCCUUGAAAUAUGAAUGUUUACCUUCUGUUUAGUUAUUGGAUUGUCUCUUGUAGGCUAACAUGCAUCUUUGUAGAACUUAAGAAUGAUCAGAAAGGCUAAUGACACUACCUACCCAACUGAGAGAACUUAACCUCGAUGAAUUAUUACAAGAGCGGCUAGAUAAACUGCCUGUAAAGUUUUUUCGAAGUCAUUGACUAAAAGGUCGUACCCAGUGCACAAGGCUCCCGCUUUACGCAGGGUCUGGGAGAGGUGAAUGUCGGCUAGCCUUACCCCCAUUUAUGGAGAGGCUGCUCCCAAGUCUCGAACCCGAGACCUACCGCUCAUGGGCGAAGGCACUUGCCAUCGCACCAAGUGCCAUUGAAUAAAAAUGUUAGCUUUUCCUCCAUAUUUCAAAUUCUAGUUUCUCAUUUUCUUUUUUAAUUUUAGAAAUUGUAUUUAGUUUAAAACGCGCCAGAUGCCCUAUAUAUCUAGCAUUUAACUUGUGUUGCUUUGCGUUUUGUAGGAAGCAUUCUGAAAGGUUUAUGAGUGGAAGGUCAUGAACUGUCUUGAGAUCUUGACUGGAGCCGUCUCUUCCUAUGGCACAGAACCUGAGUUUAGGCCUGUUGCGUAUGUGAUUUUGCCGUCUCUUCCUAUGGCACAGAGCUCUGGACUGGAGCCAUCUCUUCCUAUGUGAUUUUGCCGUCAAUGUAUAAUAUGUAUGUGUACUUUGCUAAAUUGUUACCAGCCAAUAACCACAAAUGCCUAUUUCUUGGAUCUUUCAUGAUUGAAUUAUCAAACUUUGUUUUAAUCUGAAAUAUCUUUAACGCUUGGCCUUCAUUUCGUUUUAUUUUGAUAUCAUCUUGGAGAAACUGAAGUCAUUAUAGGAUGAGAAAAAGUCAGGGGCUAGCUCUCUGUCGAAGUACGUUGCAACUCUACGUGAAGUAGCACAACAAAGAAUGCUUCGUUGUCUCUAUUGAGUUCAUUUUCACAGUCAUGUUUGAUGUUCCAUUUUCUAACAUCCUAAUUGGUUCCAGUGUUCUUGUGGGCGAGCAUUCAUCUGUCUUUGGAAGUAAAGGACGAGAAAGCGAUGAAGAAGAUGACACCAGGGACGACGAAGGCAUUGCUGCCUUUAAUUCGUCCUGGUUACCAGGAAAGGAUUCCAAGUAUGGUCUCUCUCUCUCUCUCUCUCUAGAUUGCUAUACAAUUUUACUUUUGGUAUUUGUGUUGUAACAUUAUUAUUGGUUUUUCAGAGCUGAACCACCCAAAGAUGUGAAAAAGAAGAAAAGGAAGCGAAAGACUGAGUGCCAGGACCGAGUAGACAUGGAUGAAGAUAUUGUUCAGGAGUUGGUACUCAGUCUGAAGAAGAAGACGGGUCUUAGCUUACAUAUCAAUUACUACUAGUUGAUUGAAAUUUCAGGACAGUAUCAUCAAAUAUAAUAGCAACCGGUUUUAGCUUACAUAUCAAUUACUACUAGUUGAUUGGUGUGGCGGCAAUCUCUCGCAUAUAUGAUUCACCUUGCAUGGGAUAAAAGUAACUCCUUGUUGAUGUUUUUCUUUCACCGAUGUACUGCUGUGGUUUCCAUAUGGUGGAAUGCUCACUCAUCUUUCAAUGCCUCUGUCAUCUUGAGGUAGGUGUAUACACAUACGUUUCUAUACAAACACAAUGGUUGAAGAGAGCAUGGCUUAUUGGCACCGCUUUCUAGAAUGCCAGUGUUACUCGACUCGGUGGCUGUCUGCUGCCGCGCCUACAGAUUUCAGCGUAAGCAGUUGAACACUUGAGUGUAACUUAUUCUUCCUUUCUGUAGCAGUGUAAUUCAACUAUGCUAUCAGUCAGGACAGCACGAUGGGACUACAUAUAUGUCGGCUUUAUUGAUGCAGAUGGCAACUCUGGAAUUGUAAAGAAAGGAUCAUCUACUGCCAACAAUUUAAACAUGCAUCAAUUAGUUGUCCUUGAAUGGUGCUACUCCAGCUAUCUGGCAUGAAUAUAACUCUCUCCAACUCCCAACUCUCAAGACAAAAGCCAGGUACUUUUUUAUUUAUUUUUAAACUGAUUGUCCUCAGCAAUAUUCCUACUUAAAUUCAAGUUUCAGAGUCUAAUCCCGAUGAAAUUACAGGAGAGUGGCGAGUGGAGUGAAGUAUUUGUAGUCUGAUACUGUGGAACUACUUGGGGUCGAUAUAUAUGAUUCUCCUGCAUGACAAGAGGUAAAACCCUGGAUGAUGGUUUUCUCGUACUUCUCUCGUUUGCGUCAUAACUGUAAUCUUGUGGUAGGUGUGAUGGGACUAACAGAUAUGUUUCUCUACAGACACAACGGUUAAAGUCUUGAAGAGAGCAUGGCUUAUUGGCACUGCUUGCUAGAAUGCUAGUGUUGCUAGCCUAGGUGGCUGGCUGCUUCCCCUACAGAUUUCAGUGUAAGUAGUUGAACACUUGAGUGUAAUUUGUUAUUCUUUUCUGUAACAAGGUAAUUCAACUAUGCAAUCAGUCAGGACAACACGUUGGGACUAACGUAUUUGUCGGCUUUAUUAAUGCAGAUUGCAACUCUGGAAUUGUAAAGAUAGGAUUAUCUACAGCCAACGAUUUAAACAUGCAUCAAUUAGUUGUUAGUGUAUGGUGCUAUCUGGCAUGAAUAUAAGUCUCCUUUAAUCUGAGAGGUGACCCCUGGAAUGAUGUCUUUUCUAAUACUGUUUCUAAUUUGAAUAUGAGAGGCAUGCCUUUUCAUCUGCUCUUGAUGUCAUUCUCAUCUUCUAAUGGGUGCAGAUAUGCUUUUGUACAGACAAGGAGGUUGAACAGCGCGCUUGACACUUUUAGCACUUUCGUCUUGCUUGCGUUUGUUGGUAUUCCAGUAAAUGAUAUUACUAGAAUAAGUGGUUGGCCGGUGUGCUACGGAUUUCACAAGAAUGAUAAUUCUUACGUUAAGCACUGCAUACGAGCUGUAAUUCAGCUUUCCACCACUCUCUUUUGUUAUAAGUUCCAUUUGCUUGUUUUCUAAGAUAAAUGUAUCAGUAAUAAUUUCUUCAUCUUUAAAUUUAGGAGCAUCUUGUUAUGCUGAGGUAUGAAAAAGGAAAUCAGUUGAGUUGGCAUCCCAUUGAAAUGGAUUCAAUCAUUUGAGAGAAAACAUGCUUUUCACAGUUCAAUUCGGAAUGAAACGGUAGAAAGCAUGUGAAGGUAAAGCUCUAUGUUCUUUUCCUACAUUUUCAUCAAAACUCUGCUUCCCCAUACUCUCCUUAAAGAAAAAUAUAUAUCGCAUACUUUAAAUGUAAUUGUGCCUAUUGUUGCCAUCUAUGAACAUCUUAUCUCCUGGAAGUGAUCCAAAGGAACUGAGAGGUUAUAGCAUUCUUCUCGCCAUUGUGGAUUUCAUGAGCAAUCAAGAGAAUAUUCAAAGUUGCAUCUGGACUCGGAGGUUUGUUUUUUCUAUAUAUUAGCAUGUGGUGUCGUGUGACUCGCAUAGCAAGUUAACAGAGGAAGAAAAAAAGUUAUUUGAACAUUGCAGAUUCGCUCACUUUAUAUGUGGGCGAUCAUUUGAUUCGUUAACCGCUCUAGAGGAAAAUGUCGUGGAGAAAUAGACGAUGAUACGCUUAACCCAAGUUUGAUGGGGAAAGUUGGAGCAGCGGGCACUCAAAUUUACAAACCUUCUUCGGGCACUCAAAUUUACAAAUUUACAAACCCAAGUUUGAUGGUAGUGCAUCAUGUCCAUUAUCGCGCAUAGCAAGAAAAUUUCCAGUCGCCAAGGGGUCUAUUCAUUGUUUCUCUUAAUAUGUAGUAUUUGAUUUUCUGAUUCGUAUGCAGCCACACUUUUUGUUGCUGCCUGUGCCCGCGCAGGGGUUCAUUUUUCUGUACCACGUAUGUUUUAGGCCAGAACACCCGAAAAGUCAACGUUGACCGGAGGUCAACGGUCAAACGGGUUUUAGUCUUGAAAUUCGGAUUAGGGUCUAGGCGUAGGUUAAAAAGGGUUAGGACCUAUUGGGUUUUUAGGUCUCUAGGGGUUUUUGGGUUUUUAGAUAAAAAGGCUUAGGGCCUUAGCUAAUUUGGUCCAAAUGCCUUUAACUUAAAACAAUUAAUAAAAUAAAUAAUAAAACUGAAAUGGGUUUUGGGUUGGGCUCGGCAGGAAAGGCCCAAAGGCCUUAGGUUGGUGGGUCGCCGGAUUUCGGUCGGAGAAUUCCCAAGCUCCGAUGGAGCUCAAAACUCAACCAAAACAUGUCAUUCAAUAUACCAAAUUGAAGCCCCGAAGGUAAGGAAUCGAAAUAUACCCUUGGUUCCCAUCAUCGUGGCCGUAGUUGGCUGGAAAAUGGCCUGGAAGGCACGGGUUCGCCGAGAAAACUGGGAUUUCAGCCAGAAUUUCUGGGCAACCUUUAAACAUCAAUAACUUUGUCAAUACUUAACGAAACCAAGUGAUUCAAAACAGAAAUCGUAGCCCUCGAAGAGACGAAGAGAAUGGUACCUAACACGACGUCUAAAUCGCCUUGGUUUGACCGGAAAAUGUCUCGAAAGCCUCGGAGGUCGCCGGAAACUGGGUAAGAUUCAAAUUAGUAUAACUUCUUCGAUACUCAACGAAAUUAGGUGAAACAAAAAGGAAAAUUGUAGUUCUCAGCGAGACGAAGAGAUUGAUACCUUGCACACCGGCCAACUCGCUGUAGUUUGGCCGGAAAUUGGCUCGAAAAACAUCGGUUUCAUCUGGAGAGUGAGCACCGUGACUGUCACGGUGGAGUUCCUAGUUUUGCUUGUGGUUUCGAGGUCCAAGGUCUAGUGUUUGGUGGUUGGGAUGGUAGCUGGGUGUGAUUUUCAGAGAAGGGAUGAAGAGUUGCAGAGGGAGAGGGCACGGGAAAAGGAUAAGGGAGAGAAGAAGAAGAGGGAGAGAAAGAGAAGAGAGUGUUAUAAAAAUCAGAAAAGAAAGAAAAGGGGAAAGGAACCAGGGGACAAAACAGGGGGUGACCUUGGGCACACCAUUUAAGACCCAAAAACCAUUUUAAAAGCAAGAUAAACUCAAACUUAGUGAAAAUACGAUUUAAAUUGGGGGUGGGUGUAACAAUAUGUACUAGCAGUCAUAUUUCAUUCAACAAAAUUUAUUUACAAAAGCAUAUCCAGCGAUAUAAAUUACCAAAAUUGAUCCCUUUCAUGAACGAUAUUAUAAUAUGUGGAUUAGUUGAAUGACGGAUUUUAUUCAUAAUUUUAUUCUCUUGGUCGACUUAGAGUUCAGAUUCAUUCCAAACACGUCAAAUGAAAAUACAAAAUCUUUACUAGGAACUAAAAAUAAAAAAAGAAUAGCUACAACUGUAGUUAUUGUGGGGAUCAAAAUCAAAAUUUUGUGUUUAUCAUUUUCUUUUUGUAUAAAACACCUCAACAAUCAAGGACAUUGUUCGACUCAUUUGAACAAAUAACAGUUUAACAUGUACACAAUGAUAACUUAUUGAAAAUAAGCAGGUAUAAUUCAAUUUGAAUGCUUUUGAUAAACUUUCAGUCCUAGCAUGACCACCACCAAAAUACAGAGUAAAACUAGCAAUAGUUCCAGCGCGAUGCUGCGGGUUUUAAAAUUGUAUAAAGCAUGCAGAAAGUUCUAAAUACACACGAUAUGCAAUACUAUUUACAUACAUAUAGAAACCUAUUUACAAUGAUAUGGACUGGCAGUUCUAUUGUCAUUGUUCUAAUAUUCACAUCUUUUACAAAUUGAACUCCUAAUUGUCCUUAAUCGUAGGAAAUUUUUUGUAUAUAGUAUUUUUUACAGAAAAGAUAAUAUUUGAUGUGUAUUUACAUACUAUUUACACACAAAAGAUUGGGUAGAUAGUCCUUACUGAUAUCCUCAUGAAAUAUCCAGAUAAUCAGCUUAUUUUACCCAAUCAUAACCAAACUCUGUGGUUGUAGCUGACUUUAAGUUGUUAAUGGAACAAAGUACCUGAAGUCGAAGAUAAACCUGGGGAAUGUAGAAAUCUUCAAGCCUUAAACAAAUUGGCCUUGCUUUUUGCAACAAAACAAUCCUUUUAUUACAAAAAAUUACAGGAAAAACUUUUAAAAGUGGAAAUAAAAUUAAGUCAAAUGAUUAGGGAACCAGAAGUUUAGUGAACCAUACAUAGAAAUAAAAUUUAAAUUUGAAAUAAAAAAAAGAAAAAGCAAUCUCAGAUACACACAGCAUGACAAUUUUACACAUACAAAAGCGAAACAAAAUUAUCAAAGCAAAUAAUAACAUGAAAUUGAAGAUUCAUUAACAAUUUAUUAAGCAUAUAUAGGUACACCCAACAGAUAAUCUUAUUUAAUCACACCAUUUUAAUUUAUCAAACUGAUUAUUUAAUACUGUCAUGCACGACAAUAUUUUACCAUAAUGAACUCUGACAAUACCCUCUCAUCCCAGUCGCAUUUUUUGUUAAAAUUUUGACCAUAAGUGUAAUAUCUUUUCACUGUUUUCAAAUCUUGACGAAACUCUGAAGACACAAACAACAACACUCAACUCCUUUUUCAACCCGGUAACCAGUUUACACAAAUAAGAAUGUAGCAUUUUUAUUAAAGCAUGUAAUUCUCCUCUUCCUAUAUUCUUCCCCUUUCUCUAACCAAAUAAAAAUUUCCAAAACUAUAUGCGAAAUUUUUUUAUAAAAAAUGAUACAUAAUUAAAGCAAACAAAGAAAAAUAAAUGAAAACUAUUUUGUGAGAUUGUAUUACUUUGUUAACAACCAGCAGCAAAAUGUUUCAUCUUUUCAUCAAUUAAUAAAUCAGUAAACAAAUGACUAAACUUUCUUAAUCACAAAAGGCUAAAAGCAAAAAACAAAAAUCACUCACCUUAAUAAUAAAGCACUUUGAACAGUUGCAUCAUCUCAUUGUUUAGAAACUUUAGUGAUUACAAAUCUGGAAAACAAACACUUCCAAAAUUUCAAACAAAAACAUAAAUGCUUUUCACACUUGCACACACACACACGUGCCUAUUCUGAAUUCAUAAAAGAGAACAAAAAUUAUAGGAUUCAUGCCAAUAUAGGGAUCUGCUGCAUAUCAUGCUUCAGGAUAGCCAUAAUUUGCAUUAUAACCUACAACUUUAGAGGAAAUUAAAAGGCAAAAUCAAGCCAAACCAACAAUUCCCCCAUUAACUCGAAGAAUGAUUAUCCAUUUUUAAAUGGGAGUUUUAACGAAAAGCCCACGGUACUGUUCACUUUAACGAAAAACCACAUUUUUACACUAAAAAGUCAAACCUGGUACUAUUCACUUUACCCUUUAUUUUGUCCUUAUCAUUAAAACUCAAAGUUUUCAAGCCCUUUUCAUUAGUUUUCCUUUUUUAAAUAAGUGUGCAAUCCAAUCAAACCCAACAACCAUCCAAAGCAAAUUACACAAAAUUAACAGAUGUCCAAGCAUUGAAAGAAUCACCAAAAAGACAUGCACUCUGAAAAAGAACAAAACUUACAGGGCCUUUAUGUCUUGUGAGAUGUCCAACAGAAGCACUUAAUAGUAAAAUAUUAGUAUCAUCGUUGAUAACUCUCUUCUAUUUUAUGUUAUGAGCUUUCCAUUUAUUACCCAUUUCUUGGGUAAAUUUACCCAAUUAUAUUCGAAAGCAUGAGACAUAAUAGUAAAACACAAAAACAAAUUCAGAAGAAAUCAGAAGAUGCAGAACUAUUAAAAAUUCCAACAUUUAUUAACAACUAUUUAGUAAGGAUAAAAAAAUCAUGCUAUCAAAUAAAUUUGAAAAAAACAAAACAAAACAAAAUUUAAGUUGAAUAGAGAGGUGAUACUUGCUUACCCAGAAAUCCAAACCAAAUCCCCAAAAAUUUAAGUUGAAUAGAUGAUAGCAACAAACUCCGAUCUCCAUCUUCUUCCAAAUCCAAAAGAACCAAAACCCAUACAGAAAAUCUCAAGGAUGGGCAAGAAUUGCUGAGAAAAAUUCAAAAAAAUUGGACAUAGAUGGUGCUUUUUGCUGAAAAAUUAAAAAAAAAAGACAAAAAAGAGGAAAAUACUCAAUCUUUUCAAAUAGAAUCAGAGUUGAGUUUUUGUACCGAUAUGAACGUUUUCAGGAAUCGUGGAAUGAAAGCUGAGGUAUGGAUGAAUUGGUGGUUGUUCUUCCUCCCCAACUCCUCCAUAACUCCCAGAAGAGAAAUAUUCAUACAAACUCUUUCCAGCAGCAGCUGCAAAAAAAAAAAAAAAUUUAAUUUAAAAACAAAAUCCAAAAACAGAGCAAACAGGUUGGGUCACUCUCGAGUUUAGGUGCGAGCUUAUCCCUAACCUUCUCACAAUAUGCAAAAACUAAUCAGAGAUUUCAGAAAAUACACUACCUGAUUACCUGCUAUUGGAAACAAAUAAUAAAUAUACAGGGAAUUUUAAAAUAAUUCAACUGCAGGCAAUUUAACUGAAAUUUGUAAAGAAAAAAAAGAACUCAAAAUCUUAGUAAAAUUAAGAGCAAAAAUUAUUAACCACACAAUGAAAUUUAAUAAAAAUAAAUUACUUAAAUUAAAACCCAAAUUCCAGAAAUGAAGAAAAAUGGAACCUUAAUAUGGAAACUGAAGCUUUACCUGCAGAUCGACAACAGCGGCAGGUACCUCAAGAAUGAAAGAGACAGAGCUGGAGAUGCGUGAGAGAACAGGGGAGGAGUGUUUGGCGAUCCAUAACUUUGUGUAAACCUUGAGGACCUCGUAGAAAUACGCCCGGUACUCGUACCUGAACAAAAUUAAAAAAUUGAAAUUAAGAAAUAAUUGUUUGGAAAUUAGGGUUUAGGAUGAGAAAUGGGGAGAAUUUGAAGAACCUGCAACAGUGGUAAUAUGGGAGCCCUCUGAUUUUAAAGAAUCAAUGGGGAGCUCUCCCCGACUGCAGAAUUAGAUUUUCACCCUCAAAUAUGGUGUAAUUUGAGACCAGUAGAAUCACUUCAACCGAGAUUUGAAAGCGAAAAAGAGCGAUAGAAGCAGAUUUCUUGACUGAGAUCGCAGCGUCGGAGAGCGAGAGAAAGCGAGAGAGACAGAAGCAGCGAUUUGUGAGAAAGAAAAGCGGAAACGGAAGGAAAAAGUCGAAGCAGUCGACGCACAGCGAUGAUCGACGCGUGGAUCGAUGGGCAAAACAAACUUUUCACUGCACCAAAAGAGGAAACAGCAAGGAAACAGAGGAAAAACAAAGGGCAUUUUAGACAUUUCACUGUUUAUGAACAGUGCAAAACAGUGCCAUCCGAACUGAGUUUUAGUACAUGUAUAACUAGAAAUAGUGCCCGCGCGUUGCUGCGGGAUUACAAAACGUGUGAGCAUAAUAUAUAAAGAUAUUUAAAGAAUGAUGAAGUUUGAAUCAAGGGUGUAUAAGGGCUUGUGAAAAUGAUGACAUUCAAACAAAACUCUGUAUAAAAGUAAAGGAAUAGAAAAAGAGAAAUAUGACACAUACCAUUUGUUUGGUGUUAACCAAUGUGAUUCAAGAAUGUCCAUUACGACAAUAGAAAUUGAGGAUCAGAAAGAAUUAGACAAAAUCACAUAUUUGAAAUCAAAGAUCGAAGCUGCCUAAAUACCAAACUAUUCAUUAAAAAUACUGAAAACUUAAAAAUUAGAUAAGUACAUCAGUGAGUUUUGUAAGAUCAUCUAUGUUGAAAACGUUUAGAACUAAAUUUAUUAAAGUAACUGAUAUAUUGUGAUAGAGCAUGAGAGAAACAACAUAAAUACAAAUUGGAUAUAAUAAGGUAUAAUUGUUUGGUGACGUAAGAAAAAGUAUUGGUUGAUUCUAAAGAAAGUGAAAUAUGUUAAAAUUAAAGUAAUUGAAAAGGAAGUGUCAUUGAAUGAAACUGAAAAUUAGUAAAGUUAUUAGAUUUUUUACUUCAAAAUUUGAUGUCAUUGUUUAGGUAUUUUGGUGUAAAUGGCAGAAUUCAAUCAAACAGGUUUAAAAGUGAUAUGAUACGGGAAAAAAGAUGGAUCAGAUAUAUCUAGUUCGGUGGCUAUUAAUUAAAACAAACAAUACCAUAGUUCACCAAUGUGACAGAGAUUAAUGUGUGUGCAAGAUUAGGGAUGAGUGUAGACGCACUUACGCUACCAAAAAAUCUAAGCAGAAUUGAUUAUUGACUUUAACAACUAAAAUCAGAAACAACUUUUCAAAAAUAAAUCAAGACCAUGGGCACAAUUUGUCAAUGAAAUGAUUUUAAGUCAUACGUUUACAGGUAGGAGAUAGCAGAUAUUUGUAUUGCAUAUCUUAGCAGAAUAAGUGGAUAUCAAGGAGAAUUAGAUUAUUCAAUUUCGAUACAAAGAAAAUGAAUUAAAGCAGGAACAACAUUUGUGCACAUUGAGAAUGAAAUUAACUAAUUAACUUACUAACCCCUACUGCAAUUUUCACACCUAUGCUCAAAACAGAUUUUGUAACCAAUAUCCCAAAAAAGGGGCAAAAGGAAAGAAAAAAAAACCUUUGUAUGGUAUACUGCAGCGUUAUCUGUGUAACCGAACUCAACCCAGCAACCUCCUUGUACACUUGGAAAACCUGAAAAACAUAAAUAGACGCUAGAACAACAUUGUGACAGAGUGAAUGCAGAAAUUGAUAAUUAUUUGAGAUGUUUUAUUUUAAAUAAAUGAAAAACCAAUUAAAACUGAAUUAACAUGUGGUUUUCAUACGGAAUAAAUGAUGGCCUUUGUGUGAUGCUUGCAAAGAAUCUCUUUUUCAUCCUGCAUAUACAAAAAGAAGAUAGUGACUAUGUUUAGCACUAAUCAGAAAAUUAUAGAUAAAUAGCAUUGUACAUGUUUUUCAAUCAUAGCUUGAGAUCAAUCUCAUUCGAUUAUUCUAUUGCUGACUAAAAAAAUUAGAACACCACAGAGAAUAAGCAUGUGUCCUCACGUACAAAACACCACUGCUAUCGAUAAAAGAAAAGUCGAUUCACUAACAAAACUCAACAAUAAACAAAGCUGUUAAAAUAUUAGGAAUAAUGGAAUUAAAACAUGCAUUAAUCGAUUAGUUCCCUGCUUUAUUUAAAUAGGAAAUCCAUAUACAAUUAGGAAGGAAUGAAAGCAGGGAAUACAUACCCAAACCAACAGUAGCCUUCGAACUCCUGUUAAAUCUCAGAUUUAUCAGCGGAGUAAACCAAAUGCAAAAUCUGCUCUUAGCCGACAAAGCCUCGACAAACUGCCACAACUCAGCAUAAAAUCAAACUGUUAGGGUUUCGUUCAAAUCAAAGCAAAUUCGAAAUAACAACUCUCAUAUAAGGGUUGCUGAACUUACCUGAGUUAAAUAAAAAAAAAUUACGAUGAUCUGAACAAAGAUCGCACCCAGACCGGACCAAAAAUUGGUCGGAAAGCCGAUGACAAUUGGGGAGAAACGAUUUACAGAGAUGCAAAACUUGUCUCAAAACAGAGAACCCAAACAAACUCCCCAAAAAAAAAGAACACGACGAUCUUUGCGAUGAAUAUUUUGCAAGACGAAAAACACAGGAUUUCAGACGAAAUGAAGGCGAUACCAAGAUGGAGAGAAGCAGAGAUUGCCGACACACAAAAGGCAAAGCAAAUGGUAAACCAACGAAAACCUAUUCGACACAAAGCAAAUGGUAAACCAACGAAAACCUAUUCGACGCAUAAACUGAACGAUGACAGACGCGUGGCCAUGAGGGCCAAAACGGACUUUUCACUGCACAAAAUAGCAAAAGACAACUGCAAGCAAAGAAGAAUCCGAGGGCAGUUUCGCCCUUUCACUGCUGGUGAACAGUGCCGGGGGAAACUGGAUUUUAGUAUAUACUAGAAAAUAAGCCCGCGCGUUGCAGCGGGAACCACUGUUUCAAGCGUAACUGCAUGAAUAAGACACGUUUAACCUGAAUAAAUUCAACACAAUCAUAAAUGAACAGAGAGGCAUGAGUGAAUGAGGCCAAUAAGAAACGGUUUUGCUUUUAUACACAUUUAACCUGAAUAAAUUCAACACAAUUACGAACAAACAAAUGGAUACAUAAGCGAAUAAGGCCAGUAAGAAGCGGUUUUGCUUUUAUACACAUUUAAGUGAGUUGGCAUAUAAACACAUUGUACAAUGAGUGGGAAAAAACUGUACGUGUUUGAUUAGAAAGAGAUGGUUUUCAAAAAAUAACAUUAAGUUCACACAUAAUAUGUGUUCUGCAUUGUAAGCAGCUAUUUGAACAGGUAAUUUAAAACAGAAAGUGUUGAGGACUUGUUUAAGUAGCUAAUUUCAGAACCACAACUGUUCAAAGGCAAAAAAACAGAAUUGUCCGUUUCCAUAUGAAACUGAAGAAACAGAAGCAAGCUGGAGUUUACACAUAUUUUGCGCCUGCAGUUAAGACGGCAAAAUAUAUGCUCUGCAACCUACAUACCUCACUUAGUAGUUGGCAAAACACAGAAAAAGUGGUGUUUGAGCAGGUAAGUCGUCAACCAUAGAUGUUCACUCAUGGCCUACUUUUAUUCAAGUUCAUGCAAAGAAAAUUGGUCUUUUAACAUGCUCUUUUCUAAAUUUUAAAAAGAAUAGUAAUUUUGUAAAUAAAUUCAAAUCCCAAAUUGAAAUUGCAGUAUAACCAAGCCACAAUUUAUCACAUGGUUUUUUAUCCUAGCCAUAAUUAGACUAAUGUGAUUUAUACCUAUAGAAUAAUGUGCUUUUUCACAUGCUUUAUUCUCUCAAAAUUUAUAGAAAUAUGAAAAUGAUCAUCACAAAUUUCAAAACCUGCAUUAACCAAAAUUAAAAGGAAAUGGACACCAUGAGUGCUUGCAAGAUGAGAGAAGGGAAACAAAAAGGAAAUGGUGCAUUUGAACAGAAUGAUGAUAAUUUAAAACUUUAAUUAUGAAAAUGCUUAAUUUUCAUGUGUUAAAUGAAUGAGGAUAUCUUAAAACUUUAAUUAACCGGAAUGAUCAGGAUCUUUUAAAACCUGUUAAAAAAACACCAUAAAUGAAUGAGGAUAUCUUAAAACUUUAAUUAAGAACUUCGAUCAGAUUAUAGGAUUUUGAAAAAUAGUCAAUACCAUCUGAAACGAAAUUCCACAUUUCUCAAAAAAUUAUGAAAACAAUCUUGUUUGAGUUCCAUGAAUAUUCCUAGUAUCCAAAUAGCAUGUAAAUUUUCCGAGCAUCCAAAUAAUUGGUCAAAAGCUCAAAAAUCCAAACAAACAAUUAAAACCAAAUCCUCAAAUGUUUGGUUGGAAUGAAGAGAUUUAGGGGGGAUUGAAAUUCGAAAAGAAAAUUUUACAUCCAAUCCACCCACUACAACCCCUGGCAUGAAACUAAAUCCCACACCUACUCAAAAGACACAAAGUAGAAAAUUACUCAAUUUCAAAAUCCAAAUCAGAAAAUAAAACCUCACCGUUGCUGUCGCUCAGCUCUUCAUCCCGCAUAUCUUCUCCUCAUAUUAUGAUAAAAUACCUCUCUUCAAGUUUGGCCUCAGAUAGUUGGUCCAUCUCAGGCUGCAACUUUUCCAAACCUUAAUAAUCCUGCAAUUCAAACCAACCCACUACAAUCAUAAUCAGUUUUUCCAGACCUUAAUAAUCCUGCAAUUCAGACCAACCCACUACAACCAUAAUCAGUGAAUUGUUGACAUUAAAACAUAUGAAAUUACAGCCCAUUUGAUAGAAGAUUAAGAUUUUCAUUGUUUUAAUAGAAACACCGAAAAAUGAACAUUUCACAGCGAAGAACUAAUUUCUCAUUAUUUAAAAAUUAGUCAUCAAAUUUCAUAAAUAAAAUUAAAAAAAAAACCCCAAAAGAAUGCAAAAAAUUGGAACCUUUGGGUGAGCAAAUAGAAGACAUCGCCCUCAUUCCACAUAUUUCCAUUGUGCUACAAAUUCACUACUAAAUAGCAAAAAAUUCAAGUUUGCUAGUCAUAAUAUAUCUCAAAAAUUAACUCCUAAAAGUAAUAAGAAAAGAAAAAACACUAAAAUUGACAAGGAAGAAAAGUUAAAUUGAUUACUGUUUGUUAGUCAUUUGAAAUAUCCAAGUGUCAAAUUCUAAUUCUCUAUAACCGAUGAGCCAUAUUGAGCUCAUUUGUGCACUCGAUACAACCUAUGAGCCACAUUGAGCUCAUUUGAAAUAUCCAAGUCACAAAUCCCCCCCACCCCACGAGGCCCAUAUAUAAAGUGACAGUUUAUCUUCGGAGUCUCAAGAACACGGCCCUUGACCUGAGUCAAGUCCUUAUUUAUAGAAAUACCACAUGUAGCAAGCACAGGAUCAUUAUCAUACUGAUAUUUUUUCACAGCCAGGAAUAGUAAAUCAUAUGAGCAAGAAGAAUUAUUGCAACAUGUGGUAAAGAAACUAAACCUUUGAUGACCUGCAAAACUAUAUCAGUCACAGUUCUUAUUCUUUCCUGAGGCUUCUGCCUUGAUUUUUCAACUAAGGAUGCCCUCUGCUUUGAAGAUAAUGCUUUUGUAUACCUUUGAAGCGAAACUAAUGAACAAAGCUAAAACACCAAGAGAAACCCCAUGGGGAAGCACAAAUCUGGAUAUCAGACAGAGGAGUUCCAAAAAGAUAAGACUAAGAGUCUAAGAAAGAAUGAUAUGAUAAUCAAAAGAAACUGACAUACCUCCAGAGGCAGAUGGUUAGGCCCUUUGGGCUUGCCAUUGAUCAAAACCCUAAAUAAUCAAACCAAACCAUUGCAUAGAGUUUCCAAAAUACCUUUAUCUUAGUGCCAGAAGGAGAACCCUAAAAUUAUAGCUUAACUAAUUGAAAGAAGUAGAAAUAAAAAUACUCGAUACUUGGUCAUGGUUUCAACUGAAUAAUAGCCAUGGUCCACAUAAUCUCCCUUAAACAAAUAGUUUGUAUCAGGGCACUGCAAAAAAAUUGCAACAGGAAAUUAUUGUUAUUUUUGGAAAGUGAAACAUCCAACAGAACAAACCAGAAAACUACAAAAUAAGAAAGAGAAAACAUCACCAAUAAGUAGCAACCAAUUAACAACCUUGAAGAACACAUACGAUAAAUUAAAUAGCCCAAAUCAGAAUAAUGCCUUUUCUCCAAUGCGGAAAAGCUUCGCCAGAUCAUGGAAUUGUCCAUGAAUAUCACCACAGAGAGUUACCGGGCUUUUUACAGGCUGCAACACAUAAAACCCAAAAUGGUUAUUCAUUUACCUUCAUGACAUGCCCAAAUCUUUAUAGGUCCAAAACCUGUAUGAAACAAUACAAAGAAAGACAUGAAACAGAAACUUGCAACUAAAAGGGCCCACCUGGACAUUGCUUUCUUCCAUUAAUAUUUCCUUGGCCUUCUGGCAGAGCACUCUUACCUUAUUAAACAAACAAAUUAAGAUGAAAAUUAUUUACAUCAUUGAAUGAAAAAGAAACUCCGAAGAAACCAUAAUAUAAAAAAGGUCCUUUAACAAACAUUAAAUUGAACAUGCUUGCAUUUCAAUAACAGAUUUCCGUUUUCUUGCUCAUUAGCGAUUUCAAAAAGCAAUUAUUUUGGUCCUAUUCUGUAUAACAUUGUAUAGGCUGGUGUACCAUAGAACAUAGCCAAUGUUCUGAAAUCCAAGAAGCACCAUAGCAACUCGGUUUUGAAGCUAACACUCUUAUAAAGUAUGCUAUCAGCCUAGCAUACCCACACAACCCUCCAUCCAUCCCCAAGAAAUAUUGAUAUGCUUACAUGCACUAUAAAGCAUAUACACAGCGUGCAGAUUAUUUGGCAAAUCAAAAGUUGUAUAGAGUUUCCUGCAACAAUGGAACGUAAACUAAGGAGGUUUCACAUUACUGAUUUCAGUACUGUCCAGAAAAGGGAAAAUUCAAGGUAUCUCCUUAACAAUGUAUUACAAUGUUCCCAUUUAGCCAAAACCAGACUCAAAUACUGCGCUCCACGAAGUCUCUGUUAAUCAUAACUCUGCAAAGGUCCAUAAAUCUGUUGAAAGAUUCGGUUUUUAUGGCCUUGGACUCGGACACCAAAAAUUCGUUUUUCCUGUUUCACAAAUCCCAAAGGCGGAAACCUGCAGUGUCACAGAAAAUGGGAUCUGACCCACAUUGCCAAUACCCAACCCUAACAGCAGAACACAUAGUUAUAACCACCAAGUUCAUGCAUUUCUUUAGAAUUUUUAACCCAGUGGUAAAUCCAAUAGAAGGUCGAAAACCCACAUCAAUGGUACAUUCAAUUUAAAAGUUGAGAAAUCUAACCCACUUAUCUAUUGUAUUAAACCUUAAAGACACCUCCACCUUCUAACUUAAAAGCUUAGUCAACAUACCACCUCCUAAUAUAAACACUUGCUUAUAAAUAUGACUUAUAAAUAGUUUUGACAUUAAACAAAAGAAAAUGCUUAGGAAAAUCAAAUUUAACAGAGGUCCAUUCCUGUAGCAGGGAUCACUCACAUAGGCCAAACGUAUACCAUAUCCCAAAUCCCACCUAGAAACACACCAAAAAAUUGGAAUGAUUUUAUUCUAAACAAAAGGCCAAAUGUUAAGCAUUAACUAAUGAGAAUUAAAAUUUGUAUAAACUCAAGAAUUCAAAGUUUCAAACGUGAUGACUAAAGAUGUGAUUUAGAGUCUAGACAGAACCAGAUGUUAGUAUCGGCUCUAUUGUACCAGAUUACUCUCUCAGUCUAAAGCCCAAUCAAGUGCCAACUUAGCCCAACUUCCCAUUCGAAGCUGUUUCCAAUUGAUUAUCCACCAUAAAAUGUUUUAAUUCAUUGCUGACAUGCUGCAAACAAAUCGGGAUUCAGAAAGUUGAUUGUUUGCUAGUGCUCUAGUAAAUUGGAAGACACAAUCAUUCUACUUUAGUCUACUGGCUUAAUAAAUUAUUGAUUGAUUACAAUCAAACAAAUUGGAAAACACAAUCAUUAGCUAGUGCUCUAGUAAAGCUUGUGUUCUGUUGACCCGUAAGAAACGCCAAUUACAACAAAAAACUCAUGACCUUAAGGCAGUAGCUCUCAUGUGGAUUAAAUAAUUCGAACCAAAAAUUAAUAUAUUUUAUUUUCAAACAUUUUUCUCAUAACUGAAAUGAUGAAAGCGGUGCGCGCAUCUCUAUCUUUCAGUAUAUUCAGCUCAACUACCUUCAAGUUAAAAAUGAGAUUGUGAAUGCAUGAACCUUUAUAAUCUGUAUAAAUUUGUUAUUAAGCAUUUACUGAUAGCCAGGUAGUAGGUAUCAAUCCAGUUUCCUGUUGUGUGAUAGAACCUUAACUCUUCGGUUGAAUUAACAUGCAUACUGCUGCCAGAAUGCAUUACUAAGUGUAUAUUAAUCCAGUCAAAUCAAUUAGGAUAUCAAGAAAGAUGACAACAAAAUAAAACAUGGCUACUCUCAUACAAUGAUGAAGAUGAAUUUAAACGAUUCAAUCCUACUACAAAUGAAAAUCCCUAUAGAGGAAUUUCAGCACAGAUUUGCAUAUGCAUUGAAAAUGAAGAUUUCAGAAAAUGAAACAUAAAAGGAUUGAAAAUUCUCGAAAAAGAAAAAGGACUUACAGUGACGGACAGCGGAGAACAGAGAUGGACAGUGUAGGCAAAGUUUUGGUAGCUGGGUGAAAACAAAAGCAACCACUAAUACAAUCAAGUAAAUUAAAUGCAAACCAAGAACAUGUAGAAUUAUAACAAUAAAUUUAAUUUGACAGAUAAUUUUCUUGCUGAAAAACUUUGAUCUGCAAAACCAAAUAACAUUUUUCAACAAAAAAAGAACUAAUUUAACAAAGCAAAUACAGUAUACGAAAAAUAGCUAUUCAAGAAUCAGAAAAACCUAAAAAUAUCCGAAAGGAUCCCAAAUUUUGGAACUGCUUUAAACCAACCUGCCAUGAAAUUGGGUCCACUGCGCUCGCCAUUUCCCACUUCCUCCGAUCGUUUUUGAUAAAAGAAAAUUUUAAAAAUUGUCAAUUUUCAGAUAUUAAUUGGAAAAGUAAGCGCAGAAUUGGCAUAGUCCGCACCUUCACACCUCGUUUCUGCGGUUGAAUGAGUUCUCUCGGCCGAACAUACAGAGUGAGAAUGGCGAGCGGUCAAGGAGUUCGCGACUGGCGAGACUGAGAAUGGCGAGAGAGAAUCGGUGAGGGAUUUGAGAGAAAUUACAGAGUGAGAGAAGGGAAGGAUGGGGGGAUUUGAUGGACGUUUACGGAGAGAGACGGGAGAGAAAAAGAGGGAAUGAAAGAGGGGAUGGAACGGACGGAAAAGUACUGCACGAUGAUUGAAACGUGGGCGCUCUUCCACUGUGCGGUGGCAAUUUCGUAAAUAAAUAGAAAUUCCAAUCUGAACAGCAGUCAAGGGGCGGUGGCAAUUUUGCAAAUAAAGUGAAAUUCAGGUACAAUGAACAGUAAAAAACAGUGCCAAUUGCAAUGCUUUCUUUAGACUAAAGUAGUAAUGAUGUCAUCCAACUGACAUAAUAUUCUUUUACCCUCUACUGAAAUUUCAUCGAAGCACCUCCACCAAAUACCACUUUGUUUGCCGUGUGUGGUCCACUGCAUUAUUGACCAAAGAAUAGCAAGUCGUCUCACUUAUCUUGAAGUAAGUUGAGCCACAUAAUAAUCUUAACAGGCUUUGCUAGUUCUUUACUUGAAUUUCACAAAGAAUUUUCAGUUUUUCAACUUCAAAUACUCGAUCAAAAUUAGUCCUUUUGCCAAGAAGAGAAAAUGGCUUUGGUUGGAGAGGCUUUGCUGUCCGGUUCUAUCCAGGUGAUGUGCGAAAAAAUUGCUUCGGGAGAGUUCGUGGACUUCUUCCGAGCAAGAAGACUCAACCAUUCACUCAUGGACAAACUGAAGGUGACAUUGAAUACACUUCAAGCAGUGCUCAACGACGCAGAGGAGAAGCAAAUUGUCAACCCUGCAGUCGGGGUGUGGCUUAACGAUCUCAAAGAUGCUGUGUUCGAUGCGGAGGACCUGGUGGAUGAGAUCGAUACUGAAGCUCUGCGUCACAAGGUGGAAGAUCAGACUAAGAAAACCCAGGUGUUGAACUUCCUCUCUACCUCUCGUAAUCCUUUUAAUUAUAAAGGCAUGAAUGGUAGGAUAGAGGAGUUAUUUCAGAGGUUAGAACACCUUGCAGAACAGCGAAAUCGCCUUGGUCUUAGAGAAGGUAUUGGGCACAUGGUUUCACAAAGAACUCCCACAACUUCUGUAGUUGAAGAAGGAUUUUGUCCCUAUGGUAGGGAUAAGGAUAAAGAAAGUUUAAAAACACUACUGCUGCUAUCUGACAAUGAAAGUAGCAGUAAUUUCUCUGUAGUGCCAAUAGUCGGGAUGGGCGGGGUUGGUAAGACAACCCUUGCUCAACUCCUUUACAAUGAUGAACAAGUUAAGGAGCAUUUUGACGUUCAUGCUUGGGUUUGUGUUUCCGAACAGUACGAUGCUUUGAGGGUGAUUAAGACCCUUAUUGAGCAAAUCACUGAGAAAUCUUGCGAUAUCUUAGAUAUGCAUUCCCUUGAAAUUCAACCAAGGGAACAAGCAAGGGAUAUCUCAGAUAUGCAUUCCCUUGAAAUUCUACUAAGGGAACAACUAAGGAGGGAACAAGUGAGGGAUGUCUCCGAUAUGAAUUCCCUUGAAAUUCGACUAAGGGAGCAAGUAAGGGGAAAGACAUUUUUAUUUGUCCUAGAUGACCUUUGGAAUGAGAGCUAUGAUGAGUGGGAUCGUCUACGAACUCUUUUCACUUAUGGGGCGAAGGGAAGUAAGGUCAUUGUAACAACAAGGAGUAGACAUGUUGCAUCCAUCGUGCACAAUACUAUUCCAAUAUAUGACUUGGAAAAAUUGUCGGACGAUGAUUGCUGGUUGUUAUUGGCAAAACAUGCAUUUAGAAAUGAAAACUCCAUUGCACAUCCUAAAUUGGAAGAAGUUGGUAAGAAAAUUGCACUCAAGUGCAACGGUUUGCCUUUAGCUUCAAAAACACUAGGGGGUCUCUUAGGUUGCAACCUAGACUACAAGAAAUGGAAUCACAUAUUGGAUAGCAAUCUUUGGGAUCUACCACAUGCUAAUAGUGUUCUUCCUUCUCUAAGGUUGAGUUACCAUUAUCUUCCAACUAACUUGAAACGAUGCUUUGCUUAUUGCUCAAUUUUUCCAAAGGGCUAUGAAAUGGAAAAGGAAAAUGUAAUUCUACUAUGGGUGGCAGAAGGUUUAAUUCCACAAUCAAAGAGUGGGAAUACACUAGAGGAGGUUGGUGAAAGAUACAUUGACGAACUGUUAUCGCGAUCACUGUUUCAAAGACCAAGAUUGGAUCAACCAAGAUUCACUAUGCAUGAUCUCAUUAAUGACUUGGCUAUGUUUGUGUCUGGAGAGUUUUGUUUUAGGUUGGAUGUUGAACAUUCACAUGAAGCUCGUAAAAGAGUUCGCCACUUCUCGUAUGUGAGAGGGAAAUUUGAUACAUCUUCAAAAUUUCAGCCAUUAAAUGGAGUGAAGUAUUUGCACACAUUCUUUCCAAUGUCUUUAACACCAUAUGACACAAGGGAUGACAAAGUAUAUGUAAGCAAUAAGGUUCAAGAUGAUUUUCUGCCAACACAAAAAUAUUUACGGGUAAUAUCAUUGUCAAGAUAUCGAAAUAUCACUCACUUACCUGAUUCCAUUGGUAAUCACAUACACUUGCGCUACAUUGAUCUCUCUUAUACGGCAAUUAAAAGGUUACCCGAUACAGUGUGUACCCUCUACAAUUUACAAACUCUGUUGUUGUUAGGUUGUUCUUCCCUUGCUAAAUUGCCUGCAGACAUGAGUAAAUUGAUUCAUUUGCGUCAUCUUGAUAUUGGUGGAACUCGCAUAAAAAAGAUGCCUGUGCAUAUGCGUAGAUUAAAAAGUUUGAGAACAUUGACAACUUUUGUGUUGGGGAAAUCUACUGGGUCAAGCAUUGCAGAGCUGAGGGAGUUGUCGCACAUUCGAGGAAAAAUUUGUAUCUUGAAUCUUCAAAAUGUAGUCGGUGCUAUUGAUGUCUUGCUGAAGGAUAAGAAAGAUCUUAAUGAGGUAGAGUUGGCAUGGGGUGAUGAGGUUUCCGAUGAUUCGGUAAAAGAGAGAUAUGUGCUCGAAAGACUUCAACCUUCGGUAAAUUUGGUGAAGCUAACCAUCAAGUGUUAUGGCGGAUUCAGUUUCCCAAAUUGGGUGGGAGACUCGUCAUUCUCCAACUUACAAGUGAUGCGUCUCAGUGACUUUGGUAAUUGCAGUUCAUUGCCACCAGUUGGUCAGCUACCUGCUCUGAAAGAGCUCUACGUAGAAAGGAUGAAAGUGGUUACGAGUGUUGGUGUUGAGUUGUACGGGGGAAAUCAACCAUUUCAAUGUUUAGAGAAGCUAGAGUUUUCAAGUAUGCCAGAGUGGGAGGAAUGGCUGCCUAGUCCAAGUGGAGGUGAAAGUCCAGACUUUCCUCGUCUUAAGGAGCUGAGGUUACGCCAAUGUCCGAAGCUGAGAGGAAACUUGCCCACUCAUCUUCCUUCCUUGGAGAUACUUAGGGUCUAUCAAUGUGAGGUACUACAUUUGCCGACGGAGACGCUGCCGUGGCUUCAGGUGCUUGGUACUAAUUUUAAUGGCGGGACAGAGUGGUUGCCGCAAAUGGUGCACAACAGCAAUCGUCUUCAAAGUUUGGUUCUUUAUAAUUGUUCCUCACGCUUGUCGUUCCCAACAAAUGGUCUACCCACCACGCUGACGUCACUCCGAAUUGAAUUCUGCGAGAAAUUAGAAUUCCUAUCACGUGAGAUGAUGGCCAAAUUGACUUCCCUUCGGUCUUUGCAUCUAAAAGAGAGCUGUGAUUCUCUGAGGUCCUUCCCUUUGGGCCUUUUCCCCAAACUUUCAUCUCUUGAAAUAUGGGGUUGUCGGAAUUUGGAAUCUCUUUCAGUUGGAGGAGGAGCAGAUGAAAAUCUCAGCCAUCUCAACUCCCUGAUUAUUUGGGCAUGUCCCAAUCUUGUCUCUUUUCCCGACGGGGGAUUGCCCACUCCCAACCUCACUUCCUUUCAAGUCUUCGACUGCGAGAAUUUGAAGUUGUUGCCGGACCGCAUGCACACCCUCACCGCACUUCAACGUUUGGAGAUAGGAUUUCUUCCAAAUGUGGUGUCAUUUGCACAAGGGGGUUUGCCUCCCAACCUACAAUCAUUUGGGAUCCAAUUAUGUGAGAGACUGAGGCCUUCAGUGGAAUGGGGAUUGCAUGGGCUUGCCUCUCUUCAAGGAUUUCAGAUCUUCGUAGGAACCAAGGAUCUGCUGGAGACGUUGCUCAAUGAACAGCUUCUCCCUGCCACUCUUCACACUCUCCAAAUCUCUUCUGUAUGCAGUCUGAAAUCUUUGGACGGAAGGGGACUUGAGCACCUCACUUCUCUUCAACACCUACAAAUUGGAGGGUCCGAGAGUAUCAAAUUCCUGCCAAAAGAGGGUUUGCCGGCAUCUCUUUCUUAUCUGGGCAACUUGUAUAGUCCAGAGGGUGCGCCGGCAUCUCUUUCUUAUCUGAAGAAGAGGAGGUAUCUGAAGAAGAGGUAUGAGAACGUAGCUCGCAUUCCUUGCAUAGAGAUAGAUGGAAAAGUCAACAUCUUUUGAGCUUUCAUUUCACUCUCUCAAACUCUCAACUCUCAAGACAAAAGCCAGGUACUAAUUGUCCUCAGCAAUAUUCCAACUUAAAUUCAAGUUUCAGAGUCUAAUUCCGAUGAAAUUACAGGAUGAGUGGCGAGGGGAGUGAAUUAUUCCGGUUAAAGUCUUGAAGAGAGCAUGGCUUAUUGGCACUGCUUGCUAUAAUGCUAGUGUUGCUAGCCUAGGUGGCUGGCUGCUUCGCCUACAGAUUUCAGUGUAAGUAGUUGAACACUUGAGUGUAAUUUGCUUUUCUUCUCUGUAGCAAGGUAAUUCAACCAUGCAAUCAGUCAGGACAACACGAUGGGACUAACGUAUUUGUCGGCUUUAUUAAUGCAGAUGGCAACUCUGGAAUUGUAAAGAUAGGAUUAUCUUUACACCACUCUCUUUUGUCACCCUUGAGCACUGCAGACAAGCUGUAAUUCAGCUUUCCACCACUCUCUUUUGUUAUAAGUUCCAUUUGCUUGUUUUCUAAGAUAAAUGUAUCAGUACUAAUUUCUUCAUCUUUAAAUUUAGGAGCAUCUUGUUAAGCUGAGGUAUGAAAAAGGAAAGCAGUUGAGUUGGCAUCCUAUUGAAAUGGAUUCGAUCAUUUGAGAGAAAACGUGCUUUUCACAGUUCAAUUCAGAAUGAAACGGUAGAAAGCAUGUGAAGGUAAAGCUCUACGUUCCUUUCCUACAUUUUCAUCAAAACUCUGCAUCCCCAUACUCUCCUAAAGAAAAAUACAUAUCGCAUACUUUAAAUGUAAUUGUGCCUAUUGUUGCCAUCUAUGAACAUCUUAUCUCCUGGAAGUGAUCCAAAGGAACUGAGAGGUUAUAGCAUUCUUCUCGCCAUUGUGGAUUUCAUGAGCAAUUGAUAGAAUAUUCAAAGUUGCAUCUGGACUCGGAGGUUUGUUUUUUCUAUAUAUUAGCGUGUGGUGUCAUGUGACUCGCACAGCAAGUUAACAGAGGAAGAAAAAAGUUAUCUGAACAUUGCAGAUUCGCUCACUUUAUAUGUAGGCGAUCAUUUGAUUCGUUAACCGCUCUAGAGGAAAAUGCCGUGGAGAAAUAGACGAUGAUACGCCUUAACCCAAGUUUGAUGGGGAAAGUUGGAGCAGCGGGCACUCAAAUUUACAAGCCUUCUUGGUAAGUAGCAACUCAACCGUGGUAGUGCUUCAUGUCCAUUAUCGCGCAUAGCAGGAAAUUUCCCAGUCGCUAAGGGGUCCAUUCUUAAUAUAUAGUAUUUGUUUUUCUGAUUCGUAUGCAGCCACACACUUUGUUGCUGCCUGUGCCCUCGCGGGGGCUCAUUUUUCUCUAUCACAUACGUUUUAGGCCGGAACACUAGUCUGAUACUGUGGAACAACUUGUGGUGGAUAUUUAUGUUUCUCCUGCAUGUGAAGAGGUAAACCCUGGAUGAUGGUUUUCUCAUACUUGUCUCGUUUGCGGCAUAACUUUCUCAUCUUUCAAUGUAACUGUAAUCUUCAGGCAGGUGCACUGGAGAUAUGUUUCUCUCUACUAACACAACAGUUGAAGAGUGCCUCAUGGCUGUGCUUGCUUGAAGGCCAGUACGUACAUUACGUUACUAGAUUGCAUUUAUAUUGAGGAGGAUUUCACCGGUGGAACAUUGCAGAACAGCUGUAAAUUGUAAUUUACUUUCUUUCACUUUUUCUAUCUUCUAGCCGACCCCACUUAGUGGGAAAGGCUUUGUUGUUGUUGUUGUUGUCACUUUUUCUAUCUUCAAGUUUCUUUUAUCUAUAUUGCAUUUAUAUUAUGAGUCUUUUUCUUUGGCAGUUCAAUUCAACUAUAUGCUAAGUCAGGACAUUGUGAUGGUACUAACAGAUGUAUCGGUUUCAUUGAUGCAGCCAGCAAACAGUGUAAACCUGUAAAGAUAGGAUUAUCAAAUGGUGCUUUGGUUUUCUGGACUGUCAAGUUUGAAAUCUUUGAACAGAAAUGGACUUUCAAUACCUCCCACUCUUGCAAUUCUUGCCCGGACAGGGACCUGCAGACCUCAGCUCUCGUCAACAGCUAUACAAAUAUUGAAUGUAUGUGGGAUUUCAUCAGCCCAGAGAGAAAACUAUUGAACUGUAAAGAUAGGAUUAUCAGAGGGCAAACGAUGUUAGCUUACAUCAACUAUGCUACCCCUUCUUUUUUCUCUUAAAUUUCAGGACAGUAUUGUCAAAUAUAAUAGGAACCGGUCUUCAACACCUCCCACUCUCGCAAAUCCUGCAGGGACAAGGACCUCAGCUAUAUAAAGGUUGAUUGUAUGUGGGACUUCGUCGGUCCAGAGAGAAAACUAUUGAACUGUAAAGAUAGGAUUAUCAAAGGGAAAACAAUGUUAGCUUAUAUCAACUACUCAGGUACUUGUGUAUAUAUCUAUAUAUACUACUGUGGUUUCCAUAUGGCUGAAUGCUUACUCAUCUUUCAAUGCCUCUGUCAUCUUGUGGUAGCUGCAUAUACAUAUGUUUCCUUGCAAACACAAUGGUUGGAGAGAGCAUGGCUUAUUGGCAGCGCUUGCCAGAAUGCCAGUGUUACUAGACAUGGUGGCUGGCUGCUGCACCUACAGAUGUCAGUGUAUGUAGUUGAACACUUGAGUGUAAUCUGUUCUUCCUUUAUGUAUCAAUGUAAUUCAAGUAUGCAAUCAAUCAGGACAACACGAUGGGACUAACGUAUUUGUCGGCUUUAUUGAUGCAGAUGGCAACUCUGGAAUUGUAAAGAUAGGAUUAUCUACAGCCAACGAUUUGAACAUGCAUCGAUUAGUUGUCCUUGAAUGGUGCAUGCAUAUAAUUCUCCUUUAAUCGGAGAGGUUACCCCUGGAGUGAUGUUUUUUCUAAUGCUUUUAUAGUUUGAAUAUGAGAGGCAUGGCUUUUCAUCUUCUCUUGAUGUCACUCUCAUCUUUGAAUGGGUGCCAAUAUGAUUUUGUACAGAGAUAGUGGUUGAACAGCGCGCUUGAUCAUUGUAGCACCGUCGUCACGCUUGCAUUUGUUGGUAUUCCAGUAAAUGAUAUUACUAGAAUAAGUGGUUGGCUGGUGUGCUACGGAUUUCACAAGAAUGAUAAUUCUAACGUUGAGCACUGCAGACGAGCUGUAAUUGAGCUUUCCACCACUCUCUUUUGUGUUAAGUUCCAUUUGCUUGUUUUCUAAGAUAAAUGUAUCAAUAAUAAUUUCAUCAUCUUUGAAUUUAGGAGUACCUUGUUAAGCUGAGGUAUGAAGGUCAAGCAGUUGAGUUGCAUCCUAUUGAAAUGGAUUGGAGAGAAAACAUGCUUUUCACAGUUCGAUUUAGAAUGAAACGGUAGAAGCGUGUGAAGGUAAAGCUCUGCGUUCUUUUCCUACAUUUUCAUCAAAACUCUGCAUCCACACUCUCCUUAAUGAAAAAUAUAUAUCGCAUACCUUAAAUAUUGUGCCUAUUGGUGCUGCAUAUAAACAGCUUUUCUCCUGGAAGUGAUCCAAAGGAACUGAGAUGUUACAGCAUUCUUCUCACCAUUGUGGAUUUCAUGAGCAAUCAAGAGAGUAUUCAAAGUUGCAUCUGGACUCAGAGGUUUGUUUUCUAUAUAUUAGCGUUUGUGAUAUCUUGUAAUGUCAAGUGACUCGCAUAGCAAGUUAACAAAUGAAGAAGAAUUUUUUUGAACAUUGCAGAUUGGCUCACUAUAUAUGCAGGCGAUCGUUUGAUUCGUUAACCAAUGUAGAGGAAGUCUGGAAGAUGCCGUGGAGAAAUAGUGGAUGAUACGCCUUAACCCAAGUUUGAUGGGGAAAGUUGGAGCAGCGGGCUCUCAAUUUAGAAACGUUCUUGGUAAGUAGCAACUCAACCCUGGUGCUGCUUCGUGUGCAUUAUCGCACAUAGCAGGGAAUUUCCCAAUCUCUGAGGUGUCCAUUCAUUGUUUCCCUUAAUAGUAUUUGCUUUUCUGACUCGUAUGCAGCCAAAUGCACACUUUGUUGCUGCCUGUGCAGCCAAGUUCGCGCGUGGGAGUUCAUUUUCCUCUACCAUGUACUUUGAGGCCAGAGCACUACAUCGUUGGCUGCCCAUGGUGGCUGAUUUGGAAGCUGCUGCUGUGGAAGUGGGGAGUAAUUCCACUGUGUCUAUGGCAGGGUAGUAGCAAAAGGAGGAGGAUUAUUCUGCGUUUGCCGUUUGGUACAAUAUUAUGCGAGACGAGAGGCCAAAAAGGUUGCAGAGACUUGCACGAUUUGGAAAGUUGCUGUAUUUUGAAGACUCCCCCGAACAUUAUUUUGGAUGUUUUAAUUAACAGAAGCUAGAUAGUCAUAACCUGUAAUUUGUUGGUGCCUUUUUUCCUUCAACUGGGAUGAAAUUCCCGAUAAAAUUUUGAUGAGGUUAUGGUAUUCUUUAACCCAAUAGGAUCCCUCCAGAUCCUUUUGAUGAGGAUCAUAGGAAUUCGUGAAUCGUACUCAUUCAUCGUAUAUCGUGUGAUUAUUGGUACAAGAUCAAUGCAUCAAUAUGUAAGAUUUAAUCAUUAUAUGUGCCAACAGUUAUAUUUCAUUCAACAAAAUUUAUUUACAGAAGCAUAUAAGUGAUAGAAAUUAUCAAAAUUAAUCUUUUUAUAUGUUCGACAUUAUAAUACGUGGAUUAGCUCAAUAGCGUGUUUUAAUCAUAAUUUCAUUCUCUUGGUCAACUUAGGGUUUAGGUUCAUUCCAAACAUGUCAGUUGAAAAUACAAAAUUGUUACUAGGAAGUAAAAAUAAAACAAGAAUAGCUACAACUGUAGUUAUUGUGGGGAUCAAAAUCAAAAUUUUGUGUUUAUCAUUUUCUUUUUGUAUGAAAAAACCUCAGCAACCAAACAAGGACAUUGUUCAGUCAUUUGAAAAAAUAACACUUGUAACAUGUACACAAUAAUAAUUCAUUGAAAUUAAGCGGGUAUGAUUCAUGCUGGAAGAGUUUGAUAAACUUUAACCACCACCAAAAUACACAGUAAAAUGUCAUCCAACCGACGUACUUAACUGAAAUUUCAUCAAAGCACCCCCGCCAAAUACCACUUUCAUGUUUGCCGUGUGUGUGUGGUCCACUGCAUUAUUGACAAAAAAAUAUGAAGUCGUCUCACUAUUCUUGAAGUAAGUACCAGUUUGGUACUGCUUAAAUUAAUAAAAAAAAAAGUAUAAAAAAAUCUCUCUGCUUUUUAAUGUUUGGUAAACAUCAAGAAGCAAAAUUUUUUCAGUUUCGAAUGAAAAAACAAAGAACUAAAAACCCAAAGCACCGCCAACAUGCCCUAUUCUGUACAUCAGAUUUUGCUUAGAUUGCACCGUGGACUUGCCCAGAUUGCGCUGCCGACAUGUCCUAUUAUGUACAUCCGAUUUUGCCGCCAAAUUCGAAGCUUCGGCCAUCUGGAACCUCAGAAAAUGCUCUUCUUCUUUGUAUUUCUGCAAAUUAGGAGAGCCCAAGUUACUAAUCUGGUCCCUGUCUUCUUAUUCUUGCAGAACUAGUCUUCCAGAUUCCCAACCCUUCAAAUUGCAGGUUCGUUCCUUUCUCUGUCCCUCUCCCUGAAAAACACUUCAAAACCCAAUGAGAAAGAGGAGAGGUUAGACGCAGAAAACGAGAGAGGAAAACCCAGUGAGGAAGAGGAGAGGUUAGACGGAGAAAAUGAGGGGGAAGAUGUGUUGAGGAAGAAGAGUCUAAUCAAUGACUCUAGAAAUUCUACAAAGAGGAGAGGUUGUUGUGCGGAAGCGGCAUUCGACUGUAAGUGAAUAGUAAGACAGAACAGAAUAAAAACUAACACCAACAAGAACACCAACAUUUAUACUGGUUCGGCAAUGCCUACAUCCAGUUUGGAAGACGGAGUAUUCCACUAUAAUCAAUGAGAACAUACAAUAGUGUUUAUCACUCAAUUUCCCAAAGACCCAAAUAACCCCAAGCUCUCACACUUACAAUAGGAAGAGAAAACCAAAAAAAUACAAAGCAAGACAAUUUGAGAAAAUUCUUCUCUAUGCCAAAUGGCUUCUUGCUAUUUUUCUCUCUUCCUUGUUCUUCUCUACUUCUCCAUGCUUAUGGGUUGCACCUUGCUCUCCUUUUAUAGCCAAAGAAAAGCUUCUCAAAGACAUCAAUGGCCAAAGGCCUAACAUCAAGUCAAAAAGAAUUAGGCAUAAGUGCAUCCAAUUUUGGUUUCCCACAUGUAGCAUGCCAUCCAACAAUUUUGACCACGAAAGUAGCCCAAAGAUUUGGACUUUGACUACAUGUUUGAGUCAAUAAUCAACAAUCUCCACCUUGACUCAAACCCUCUAAGUAGAACUCCAAAUAGUCGUCUCCCAAUCCCCCAUGGGGCAAUCAACAAAUUUUACAAAUGCCAAUCAAGUCUAAGCAGUGUUUAAACUUGUGCAACGAAACUGGCUUUGUUAACAUAUCCGCAGGAUUGUCAGCGGUCCCAAUCUUCUGAAGAAGAAUAUCUCCCUCGUCAAUAACCUCACGAACAAAAUGGAACCUCACGUCAAUGUGUUUCGUACGUGCAUGAUGAACUUGAUUCUUUGCUAAAUGAAUAGCACUCUGACUGUCGCAAUGAACAUCCACAUGGUCUUGUUGAACCCCUAAGUCAUCAAGCAACCCUUGAAGCCAGAUGGCUUCCUUUAUAGCUUCUGUUACUGUAUUCUGCCUCAGUAGUCGACAAAGCAACUGUAGAUUGCAGAAUCGACCUCCAACUUACUGGACCUCCAGCAAUAGAGAAUACAAAACCAGUAGUAGACCUACGCUUGUCCAAAUCACCUGCGUAAUCAGAAUCCACAUAUCCAACAACACAUUUACUAGUAACUUUAUCCUGCUGGAACAAUAAACCAACAUCCACAGUACCCAAAAUAUACCGUAGAAUCCAUUUCACAGCUUGCCAAUGCCCUUUUCCUGGAUUAUGCAUAUAUCUACUGACAAUGCUAACAGCUUGUGAAAUAUCAGGCCUAGUACACACCAUAGCAUACAUCAAACUACCAACAACAUUUGCAUAAGGAAUUUGAGCCAUGUACUGACUCUCUUCAACCGUUUUAGGAGACAUAGAAGCGCUAAGUUUGAAAUGAGAGGCAAGAGGUGUACUAACCGGUUUUGAAUUUUCAUUCAUCCUGAAACGUUGUAGUACCUUCUUCAAAUACUGCUUCUGACACAGACUAAUCUUGCCCUUCGCUCUAUCUCUUUCAAUUUCCAUACCUAGUAUCUUCCGAGCUUCUCCCAAGUCCUUCAUCUCAAAUUCAUUACUUAGUUGAGUCUUCAACCUUGUAAUCUCCACUUUGCUCUUACAUGCUAUAAGCAUAUCAUCAACAUAUAAAAGCAGAUAAAUGAAGGUUCCAUCUUGUAGUUUGCGAAAGUAUACACAAUGGUCAUAGUGACUUCUUGUGUACUUCUGCCCGAUCAUAAAUCGAUCAAAUCGCUUAUACCAUUGUCUUGGAGACUGCUUCAAGCCAUACAAUGAUUUUUCCAAUUUGCAAACCCAAUUUUCCUUUCCAGCAACCUUAAAACCUUAUGGCUGAGACAUAUAAAUCUCUUCCUCCAAAUCACCAUGUAAGAACGCAGUCUUGACAUCAAGUUGGGCCAACUCAAGAUCAAACUGCACAACCAAAGCCAACAGAAUACGAAUAGAAGAAUGUUUUACUACAGGAGAAAAUACCUCAUUGUAGUCAAUGCCUUCCUUCUGAGCGUAGCCUUUAGCUACCAAUCUGGCUUUGAAUCUUACAUUGUCUUUUCCCAAAGAUUCCAUCUUUUUGGCAUACACCCAUUUACAACCAAUUGCUUUCUUCCCAUUUGGUAACUGAACUAGCUUCCAAGUCUCAUUUUUAUGAAGAGAUUUCAUCUCCUCAUCCAUAGAUUUCUUCCACAACUCGCACUCUGAACUCAUGACAGCUUCUUUGUAGGCGGAUGGAAUAUCAUCUUCAAUAACGGGAAGUGCAUAUGCCACAAUAUCAGUAAAUCGAGCAGGCUUUUGGAUUUCCCUUCUCGAUCUUCUGGUUGCAAUAUAGUCUUGUUGCUGUGGAGGCUCUUGGGUAGGUGCCUCCUCUUCAUCAUCCUCGUCCUCAUCAUCAGAAUUAACUGUAGGACUAGUGUUUGAAACAUCAAACCUUACUGGAACAACUGGAGUCUUCAGUAACUCCACCUGCUUUGAGCUCCUCAUGGUUUUGGUCGCUUCAGUUUCACCUUCAUGCUUGUUCUGAUUAACCAUAGCAGCCUCAUCAAAAGUCACAUCUCUGCUUACAACAAAUUUCUUCUCAUCUGGACACCAGAGUCGGUAUCCCUUCACGCCAGUGCUAAAGCCCAUAAAUAGAGCUUUCCUUGCUCUUGGAUCCAACUUGCUUUCUCUGACAUGAUAGUAAGCAGGACAACCAAAUAUGUGUAAAAACUUGUAAUCAGUACAAGGUUUACCAGACCAUACCUCCAUGGGCGUUUUGCCCUCAUUCGCAGCAGCUGGCAAUCGAUUAAUGAGGUGGCUUGCAUAAGUAAUUGCCUCAUCCCAAAAUGCCUUGCCUAAUCCAGCAUUAGACAACAUACACCGAACUUUCUCAAGCAAAGUACGGUUCAUGCGCUCUGCCACCCCAUUCUGUUGCGGUGUCUCCCUAACCGUGAAGUGCCUCACAAUACCCUCAUCUUGACAAACUUUCAAGAAAGGAUCAGACUUAUAUUCACCCCCAUUGUCUGAUCUGAGAGUCUUGAUCUUUCGACCGCUUUGCGUUUCAAUCAUCUUUUUCCACUUCAGGAAUAUCUUCAAGACUUCAUCUUUACGCUUCAUGGUGUACACCCAUAUUCUUCUAGAGAAGUCAUCAACAAAGGAGACAAAAUAAUGGCUACCUCCCCAAGAUGCAUUCUUGGAAGGUCCCCAAACAUCAGUGUGAACAUAAUCAAGAAUGCCUUUAGUGUGGUGAAUAGCAGUGCCAAAUUUUACUCUAGUUUGCUUACCCAACACACAAUGCUCACAGAAUUCCAAUUUGCAUGCCUUUGCACCUUUCAAUAAGCCUUGCUUCACCAAUCCUUGCAACGCUUUUUCACCAGCAUGCCCAAGACGCAUAUGCCAUAACCUCGUGGUGUCUGUGCUAUCUGCGUCAGCAGCUUCGGUGACAGCUGCUCCACCAAUAACUGUAUUCCCCUGCAAGAAAUACAAGUUAUUUCGUCUUGUACCUUUCAUCACCACCAGUGCCCCGUACACAGCUUUAAGAACUCCACCCUCCAUGGUGAUCUUGAGACCCUUGGAUUCCAAUGCACCUAGUGAAAUGAGAUUUUUCUUCAUAUCCGGUACAUACCGAACAUCACUUAAUUCUCUGACUGUUCCAUCAUGCAUCUUCAAACAUAUUUUGCCUAUCCCUUGUGUUUUGCAGGCAUUAUUAUUACCAAUCAAAACAACUCCACCAUCCAGCUCCUUGAAAUUAGAAAACCAUUUCCGAAUGGGACACAUAUGAUAGGUGCAACCUGAAUCCAAAAUCCACUCAUUUGAGUGACCAUCAGCAUAUGAACUAGCCAAAGCAAACUCGAAAUCAUCAUCAUCUCCAUAUUUUGCAAUAUUUGCUUCAGAACCCGUUUUCUCCUUCUCUUUGUUCUUCAAUUUGGGGCAGUCUUUCUUCCAAUGACCCUUUUGGCGACAAAAAGCACAUUCGUCUUUAGCAGGAAACUUCCCUCGUGACUUUGAACGAGAUUUUCCCCGCUUCCCAGAUUUUCUUUCCUCUGUUCGACCCCUUGCAACAAAUGCCUCGGUUUGUGAAUUGUGAGUCUUCAGCUCCUUCUUACGACACUCAUGAUUUACCAAUGCCGCAGACACCUCAUCAAGUUUCACCUCGGAUUUUCCAUACAACAGAGUAGUUGUCAAAUGAUCAUAAUCAUCAGGCAAUGAAUUUAACAAACAUAGUGCCUUGUCCUCGUCAGGAAUUUUCACAUCAAGGUUUGCUAAAUCAGUAAGUAUUUUAUUGUAAUCAUUGAGGUGUUCGUGCAUAGAGAUACCUGGACGAUACUGAAAUCGGAAGAGUCGCUUCUUCAAGAAAAGACGAUUUUCUGCACUCUUGGUCAUAUACUUCUCCUCCAAUUUCGUCCAUAACUCCUUAGCAGAAGUUUCCUUCAUAUACGGGUAUUUCAACUCCUUAUCAAGGAACGAUCGAAUAGCAGCACAAGCAUGAAGAUUAAUUCGCGUCCACUGCUUGUCAUCAAUAUCUUCUGGUUUAUCUUCCAGAACCAUAUGCAACUCUUGUUGAUACAACACAUCCAUAACUUCACAUUGCCACAUACCAAAAUUAUUAGAGCCAUUGAAUUUAUCAACCUCUAACCUUGUAGUAGUGGUUGGAUGUCUAUUGGAUGUAGACGAAGACGAUGUUGACCCCUUCUUUACAGAUUCGUCUUUAUCUCCAGCCAUCUACUCGGCACUGUUCACAAAUACGGCAUUGUUCACAGGUACAAUACUGUUCACAGAUACUGUAGCAGUUCACUGAACUGUAGCGCCAACACUAUUCACGGAACUGGGCUCUGGUACCACUUGUUGUGCGGAAGUGGCAUUCGACUGUAAGUGAAUAGUAAGACAGAACAGAAUAAAAACUAACACCAACAAGAACACCAACAUUUAUACUGGUUCGGCAAUGCCUACAUCCAGUUUGGAGAUGACGGAGUAUUCCACUAUAAUCAAUGAGAACAUACAAUAGUGUUUAUCACUCAAUUUCCCAAAGACCCAAAUAACCCCAAGCUCUCACACUUACAAUAGGAAGAGAAAACCAAAAAAAUACAAAGCAAGACAAUUUGAGAAAAUUCUUCUCUAUGCCAAAUGGCUUCUUGCUAUUUUUCUCUCUUCCUUGUUCUUCUCUACUUCUCCAUGCUUAUGGGUUGCACCUUGCUCUCCUUUUAUAGCCAAAGAAAAGCUUCUCAAAGACAUCAAUGGCCAAAGGCCUAACAUCAAGUCAAAAAGAAUUAGGCAUAAGUGCAUCCAAUUUUGGUUUCCCACAUGUAGCAUGCCAUCCAACAAUUUUGACCACAAAAGUAGCCCAAAGAUUUGGACUUUGACUACAUGUUUGAGUCAAUAAUCAACAGAGGUUAGAUAGAGAAAGCAAGGGGAAGAUGGAUAAUUUUUUCAUUGUGAUGCAAGUACAAGUGUUACACCACGUGUUUUAAUAGAAGUGGUGGAAAAUUUUAUUUUUUAAAUUAUUAACUUUUUAGCACACGUAUCCCACCAUUUGUAUAGUGACACAUGAUGUAUUAUCCCGUGUAUCGAUCACACUGAAAAAAUCUCUCGGGAAGAUGUGUUAAGAUGGAGAAAACGAGGGGGAUGAAAAUCAAGGAAGGUGAGUCUGAUCAAUGACUCUAGAAAUUCUAGAAGGAGGAGAGGUUAGACCGAGAAAACGAGGGGAAAAUGAGUUAUGACGAGGGGGACGAAAAUUAAGGAAUGAGAGUCUGAUUAAUGACUCUAGAAAUUCUAGAAGGAGGAAAGGUUAGACAGAGAAAAUGACAAGCCCCGAACCUGAUAUCUCUAAAUAUCAGGAUAGGCUCAUGCUGGCCGACACUCAAGGGUGACAAAACCAUUUUAAACAUGCAUACAAAUAAAAUACGUGAUUAGAAAAAAAAAUGCCAAUACUGAAACGUGUUUAGAGCAUACAACUAAUUAACAAUAAAGUGGAAGAAAUAUUAUAAAAAUGUACAAACAAAGGAAUGGGUCAUACACAAAGAAGACUCGAAGAUACCGUUGUGGGAGUGCCCUGACGAUUGGAUCGCAUGCCUCGAUUCUAAAUUUGAAAGGGGCACAAAACAAAUGGUGAGUGAACCAAAGUUUAAUAAUUAAUAAUAAGAAAAUUGAUUUCUUUUUUAACAUACUAACCCCAUGUUUUGAGAACUCAUAUAAUACUACAUAGUAGGUUUUCUGAAAACUCUAGCAUGCCAUGAAAAACAUUCGUAAAACAUGUAUGUGUAAACCUGUAACAACCCGAAAUUUCUAAUUUGGAAGCUAAUUAUCAAGAUAGGCCCAAAUUAUUUUUCUUAGCCAAAUUCCAAGAAAAGAAUAAUUUCAGUUAUUUGAUUAUGGCUGCAUCUAAUCUCGUUAGACUGCCUACGUACCCUACAAAGGGAUCAAGCCAUUCGUAGUUCACAAAUUCAAUUUUUAACUCAUUUCCGAAUAUAUAUCAAUCAAGUGACUAACAAUCACUAACUAGGUUCAAACAAGUGAAUCAAGUGAUCAUCGUUUAAGUAGUUUAUUGAGUAUCAUCAUCUCUGUUAUAUUCUCUUGGACUAAGAAUGUAAGCAUAAUUCUACAAUUAAUUAUUUAUCUCAACCAUUUUACAAUUGUCUAGCCACUCGUUAAUUCGUCCAAGCUUUCAACUUCGUGGUCAUAAUUCAAGCAUAUACACAUAUACAAUAACUAGCUUACUUCAUAAAUCAUAUUAAUCUACGAGGAAGAUUGGCAUGCAUACCUCCAGUCUCUCUUAAAUUUAGAUUUUCUUAAAUCAAUUGAAAAGCCAAUGGAUGGGGAGAAGGACAUGCACCUGUUCGAGCAUGCUUUCUUCCUUUCUGGCCUUGUGAAAGCAAAGGGUGCAUCUGAUGCGGCAUCAGAUCUCUCUAUUUCGGUGUCUUCCCAAGCGAAAGAAGAAGCGGCUCGGGCUGCCAUGGAGGAACACUGAUAAGUCUCCCUGUAAACAAAGCUAUGAACUUCUGCCUUGUUUGGUGAUUUCUGGAAAAAUCAAGGUGACAAACGUGAUGGGCUCGACGAGGGCUUGAGUUAAGAUGUAAGAUUGGUCAAAUUCGAUGAUUAAAGGAAAGAGGUAUAAGAUUUGUGUUUAGGGGAGCCCAAAACGGAAACAAGAACAACAACUCUUCCUUUUUCCUUCCUUUCCUCCCCCCCCCGGGAAGAAGAAAAAGGUCUCCUCCCUUCUAGAACAAUCUCCUUUUUCCCCCAUUUACUAUAUUGCCCAUCAACUAAAAGAUUAAAAAUCCGCAACUUCUUCGUCGAAAUUCCGAUUAGCACCCAAUUUGCACUCACACAUUCGUGGCGACAAACAUUAUUCAAAUAUACUAAAUUAUAUGUCAAACGUGUCACGACCACAAGGUUAACAAAAGUCAGCACAUCUCCUUACGAGCAUUUUCACUUAUCAAUAAAUUUUACGAUGUAAAUUAUAAUAAUUUCUGAAAACAAACUUUAAAAGUUCUUAAUUAAAUUUUUCAUAACCAUAAAUCAUUUAUUCUUGAUUUACUCCACAUAACCAUGUAUUUUAAAUUUUCAGGGUAUUACAAAACCAGUGCUCAGUAAUGGUAAUAUAGUCGCCUGAAGGUAAAUCCGUAAAACAUCUGUAAAUCACAUCAAUGGUGUACUCAACUAGGGUUAUCAUAAUCGCCCGAAGGCAUAACCAUCACUUGAAGGUGAAGCUAUACGACAUUGGGUUACGCUAGUGAAGAAAUGUGGUGGGUCCCAUCACCCGAAGGUGAAGUUGUACGACUCUGGGUUACACCAGAGAAGAAAUACAUAUAUAUACAUAACACACCGACACUAGCCGUGGCUAAUGAAGCUGUUCGACACUGGUUUCGCCAGUGAAGUUGGGAGUAUGUCAUAAAUAUCCUCAACUGUGUUCUAAGGCCAUAGACGUCUAUAUACUCGUGUUGUGUGUAUGUGUUGUAUGAUAAGCCACUAGAUAAGCACAGAAAACGUAAUUCAAAAUCUCAUAUCAAAUCAUCGGAGCUCAAAAGCUUAAAGCAUCAAUUCAUAAACCAUAAUAAAUCAUAUUUGUAAAUCCGUAAUAUAUCAUACGUGUAAAUCCAAUGAUUUAUAACGUUUUGUAAAACAUAAUUCGAUAAAUCAUAAAUAGUGCAUAAAACAUAAAACCAUGAAAUCAUGCUUUUUGUGAAUGCAAACCUAAUAUUUUAUAAAAACAUGCAAUUUAAGAAGGGGUCCACUCAGAAAUAUUCCGCAAAUGAGGAGCCACUCGAACUAGGGAGGACGAGGUCACUUCCAACAAACGCACUUAAACAUAAAUAGAGACCAUUCAAUAAAACUUUACAAAAACGAUCGAAUUUGGGAAAAUGAAUUUCGGAUUCGGAUUCGGCACGUCGAAAAACUGAAGGAGGGACCUCGGGUUCCCCCAUGUGCCGCUGCACGUGCCGAGAUGGGUCACCAGAAAAGUUGUUGGCGCUGCCGUGGACGGCGGCGGAGGCGCGUGCACUCCACACGCUGGCCUAAGACAACCCACGCACCGCGAGUACAAGUGUACUUGCCUUCCUCGCAAGGCUGGGGAUUUUGCAGGUUUCAGGCCGACUUUCAAAGCUCAUUUCGAGCUUGAUUCUCAACCAAUUUCAGUGAUAUAAUAACCUAAAUGAAGUUAGGAAUGUAGGGAAUCGAUACAUACCCAUUGGAGGCCGUGACAUGGUCGGAGUUGGCCGGAAAAUGGGUCUGAAAGUGGCUAAAUGGCCAUUGUUUCAACUUCCAUAAAUAAGGGAAAUUUUUCCCAAGAUGUUUUCUUGCAUCCAACACUCGAUUAACACUUACCAACUACUCUAAUCUAACCUAAAACACGAUCUAGAAGAUUUUAGGAGCUUACCUGCGUCGGGGAUGGCGAGGACUCGCCGUGGUUCGUUGGGGAAUACGAUGAACAAUGACUAUCGAGAGAGAGAAAAUGAGAUGGAAAAGAGGUGAGAAAGGGAGGAGGGAGGGCCCAUAUAUGGUGAUGGUGCUUGCCGGAGUGGCAAGGCUAGUGGUGGUAAAUGCGGUGUUGUCACUGUUUGUUUGUGUGUGUGCGUUCGUGCUCGGAGAGGAAAGAAGAGUGCAGAGAUGAGAGGGAGAGAAAAGCAGAGAGAGUUCUAGAGAGAGAAGUCCACGGGGGGAAAAAGAAAAAGAAGAAAGAAAAGGGGGAGGAAUGAGAGUGGGCCGGGAGACAACCCAAAAUAGGGGUGGGCCUUACUGGCACACCAAACAAAGUGAGUGUUUUUGCCUCGAAUGGCAUUUUCUUCAAUUCACGCUUUAAAAAUGAUAAAUACCAUAAAAUUUGAGACGAGUCGUUACAGAAAAUGAGGGGGAAGAUGUGUUAAGAUAGAGAAAACAAGGGGGAUGAAAAUUAAGGAAGGAGAGUCUGAUCAACGACUCUAGAAAUUUUAGAAGGAGGAAAGGUUAAACGGAGAAACGAGGGGGAAUAUGUGUUAAGACGGAGAAAAUGAGGCAGACAAAAAUUAAGGAAGGAGAGUCUAAUCAAUGACACUAGAAAUUCUAAAAAGGAGGAGAGAUUAGAUGGAGAAAACGAGGGGAAAGAUUUGCUAAGAUAGAGAAAAAACAAACAAAAACGCAUAAUAUUUUGCACACAAAAUCAAACAAAACAAACAAAAACGCAUAAUAUUUUACAUUAGGCUUAACUUGCGGGGUCCACUGCAUUAUUGACUAAAACAAGAUGAAUUCAAUUCUUUCACACAAAUGAACUUGAGCUUGUAGAUGAUCGUAACAGGCUCUGAAAGUUCCUCACCUGAAUUUCAUCUGAGUUGACUUAUUUACUCACUAGAAUUUCAAAAGAAUUUUCAGUUUUUCAACUUCAAAUAUUUAUUCAAAAUUAGACAUUUCGCCAAGAAGAGAAAAUGGCUUUGGUUGGAGAGGCUUUGCUCUCCGGUUCGAUCAAGCUGCUGUGCGACAAGAUUGCCUCCGGACAGUUCAUGGAUUUCUUCCGGGCAAGAAGGCUCAACCAUUCGCUCAUGGACAAACUGAAGGUGACUUUGAUGACACUUCAUGCAGUACUCGACGACGCAGAGGAGAAGCAGAUUGUCAACGAUGCCGUGGCGAUGUGGCUUGAUGAACUCAAAGAUGCUGUGUUCGAUGCGCAGGACCUGGUGGAUGAGAUGGAUACUGAAGCUUUGCGUCGCAAGGUGAAAGAUCAGACUAAGCAAACCCAGGUGUGCAACUUCCUCUCUACCUCUCUUAGUCCUUUUAAUUAUAAGGGCAUGAAUGGUAGGAUAAAGGAUUUAUUUCAGAGGUUAGAACACCUUGCAGAACAGCGAAAUCGCCUUGGUCUUAGAGAAGGUGUUGGGCGCAAGGUUUCACAAAGAACUCCCACAACUUCUGUAGUUGAGGAAGGAUUCUGUCCCUAUGGUAGGGAUGCGGAUAAAGAAAAGUUAAAAACACUACUGCUGCCAUCUGACAAUGAAAGUAGCAGUAAUUUUUCUGUAGUCCCGAUAGUCGGAAUGGGCGGGGUUGGUAAGACAACCCUUGCUCAACUCCUUUACAAUGAUGAACAGGUUAAAGAGCAUUUUGACAUUCAUGCUUGGGUUUGUGUUUCCGAACAGUAUGAUGCUUUGAGGGUGAUUAAGACCCUUAGUGAGCAAAUCACUGAGAAAUCUUGUGAUAUCUCAGAUAUGAAUUCCCUUGAAAUUCGACUAAGGGAACAAGUAAGGAGGGAACAAGUAAGGGAUAUCUCAGAUAUGAAUUCCCUUGAAAUUCGACUAAGGGAGCAAGUAAGGGGAAAGACAUUUUUAUUUGUCCUGGAUGACCUUUGGAAUGAGAGCUAUGACGAGUGGGAUCGUCUACGAACUCUUUUCACUUAUGGGGCGAAGGGAAGUAAAGUCAUUGUAACAACAAGGAGUAGACAUGUUGCAUCCACCGUGUACAAUACUAUUCCAACUCAUGACUUGGAAAAAUUGUCGGACGAUGAUUGCUGGUUGUUACUGACAAAACAUGCAUUUAGAAAUGAAAAAUCUAGUGCACAUCCAGACUUGGAAGAAGUUGGUAAGAAAAUUGCACGCAAGUGCAACGGUUUGCCUUUAGCUUCAAAAACACUAGGGAGUCUCCUAGGUUGCAACCUAGACUACAAGGAAUGGAAUCACAUAUUGGAUAGCAAUCUUUGGGAUCUACCACACGCUAAUAGUGUUCUUCCUUCUCUAAGAUUGAGUUACCAUUAUCUUCCAAGUUACUUGAAACGAUGCUUUGCUUAUUGCUCAAUUUUUCCAAAGGGGUAUGAAUUGGAAAAGGAAAAUGUUAUUCUAUUAUGGGUGGCAGAAGGUUUAAUUCCACAAUCAGAGAGAGAGAAAGCAAUGGAGGAGGUUGGUGAAAGAUACUUUGAUGAACUGUUAUCACGAUCACUAUUUCAAAAACCAAGAUUGGAUCAACCAAGUUUCACUAUGCAUGAUCUAAUCAAUGACUUGGCUAUGUUUGUGUCUAGAGAGUUUUGUUUUAGAUUGGAUCAGAAGCAUUCGCAUGAAGUUCCUAAAAGAGUUCGCCAUUUCUCGUAUAUGAGAGGAAAUAUUGAUACAUCUUCAAAAUUUCAGCCAUUAGGUGGAGUGAAGUGUUUGCACACGUUCUUUCCAGUGUCUUUAACACCAUAUGAUAACACAAGGGAUGAUGAACUAUAUGUAAGCAAUAAGGUUCUAGAUGAUUUACUCCCAACACAAAAAUGUUUACGGGCAUUUUCAUUGUCAAGAUAUAAAAAUAUCAAUCACUUACCAAAUUCCAUUGGUAACCACAUACACUUGCGCUACAUUGAUCUCUCUUAUACGACAAUUAAAAUGUUACCAGAUACAAUGUGUAGCCUCUACAAUUUACAAACUCUGCUAUUGUUGGGUUGUUCUUCUCUUGUUAAAUUGCCUGCAAACAUGAAGAAAUUGAUUCAUUUGCGUCAUCUUGAUAUUCGUGGAACUGACAUAAACGAGAUGCCUGUGCAUAUGGGUAGAUUAAAAAGUUUGAGAACGCUUACAGCUUUUGUAUUGGGAAAAUCUACUGGGUCAAACAUUGGAGAACUGAGGGAGUUGUCGCACCUACGAGGAAAAAUUUCUAUCUUGAAUCUACAAAAUGUAGUCGGUGCUAUUGAUGCCUUGCUGAAGGAUAAGAAAGAUCUCAAUGAGGUAGAGUUGGCAUGGGGUUAUGAAGUUUCCAAUGAUUUUGUGAAAAAGAAACAUGUACUUGAAAGACUACAACCUCCCGUAAAUUUGGUGAAACUAACCAUCAAGUGGUAUGGUGGAACCAGUUUCCCGAAUUGGGUGGGAGACUCGUCCUUCUCCAACUUACAAGUGAUGCGUCUCAGCGGCUGUAGUGAUUGCAGUUCACUGCCACCAGUUGGUCGGCUACCUGCUCUCAAAGAGCUUUACGUAGGAGGGAUGACGUCAAUUACCAGUGUUGGUGUUGAGUUCUAUGGUGGAAAUCAACCAUUUCAAUCUUUAGAGAAGCUAGAGUUUGUGUAUAUGCCAAAGUGGGAGGAAUGGCUGCCGAGUCCAAGUGGAGGUGAAAGUCCGGACUUUCCUCGUCUUAAGGAGUUGAUUUUAGACCAAUGUCCAAAACUGAGAGGAAACUUGCCCACUCAUCUUCCUUCCUUGGGGAACCUUGGGGUCUAUCGAUCUAAUGUACUGCAUUGGUCGAUGGAGACGCUGCCGUCUCUUCAGAAGCUUGAUAUUGAUAUUGUUGGCGGGAAAGAGUGGCUGCCGCAAAUGGUGCGCAACAGCAAUUGUCUUCAAAGUAUGACUCUUUCUUUCUGUUCCUCACUCUUGUCGCUCCCUACAAAUGGUCUGCCCACCACGCUGACGUCACUCCGUAUAUCAUAUUGCAAGAAGUUAGAAUUCCUAUGCGAGAUGAUGGCCAAAUUGACUUCCCUUCAGUCUUUGCGUCUAUCCAACAGCUGUGAUUCUCUGAGGUCGUUCCCUUUGGGCAUUUUCCCCAAACUUUCAUGUCUUGAAAUAUGCAGUUGCCGGAAUCUGAAAUCCCUUUCUGUUGAAGGAGGAGCAGAUGAAAACCUCAGCCGUCUCAACUCCCUCCGGAUCGAGACAUGUCCAAAUCUUGUCGCUUUUCCCGACGGGGGAUUGCCCACUCCCAACCUCACUUCCUUUUAUGUCUCUGGAUGCAAGAGUUUGAAGUUGUUGCCGGACCACAUGCACACCCUCACCGCCCUUCAAGAAUUGUGGAUAUCCAAUCUUCCAAAUGUGGUGUCAUUUGCACAAGGGGGUUUGCCUCCCAACCUACAAUCAUUAUCUAUCAGUGACUGUAACAGACUGAGGCCUUCAGUGGAAUGGGGAUUGCAAGGGCUUGUCUGUCUUCGGCAAUUUCGGGUCUCCAGAGAAAGCAAGGAUCUGCUGGAGACGUUGCUCAAUGAACAGCUGCUCCCUGCCACUCUCCACACUCUCCAAAUCUCUUCUGUAUGGAACCUGAAAUCUUUGGACGGAAAGGGACUUGAGCACCUCACUUCUCUUCAACAGCUACAAAUUGAAUGGUGCGGGAGUCUCAAAUUCCUGCCAAAAGAGGGUUUUCCGGCAUCUCUUUCUUAUCUGAACAUCAGGAGGUGCCCUUCUUUAAAGAAGAGGUAUCUGAAGAAGAGGUAUGAGAACGUAGCUCGCAUUCCUUGCGUAAAGAUAGAUGGAGAAGUCAACAUCUUGUGAGCUUUCAUGUCACUCUCUCCAACUCUCAACUCUCAAG